This 65910-nucleotide long non-coding RNA is filed under the name Cucumis sativus (cucumber). RNAcentral's name for it is "long non-coding RNA (CSAT_LNC001722)". Lineage: Eukaryota; Viridiplantae; Streptophyta; Magnoliopsida; Cucurbitales; Cucurbitaceae. The record is from RNAcentral.
CAUCACAAUUGUGGGAUGAAGGAACAAUAUCUUCAAGCUUCUUGGCAGUGAAGAUGUCAAUUCCAACAAAGUGACACUUAGCAUGGCCGUGCUUUCCUGUCUUAGAAGUUGAAACCUCAACCACCUGCAUUACCAUACAACCCAAAGAAAAGUAACAUAAAUUAGUGGGAUUAGGUAUGCAGAAAUGCCUUCUAGAGAGUACACUUUCAAAUUAAGGAAGAUCAAGUGCUUAUCCACUUCAAUGCCUAAAGUUAUAAUUUAGUAGUAUUAAUCAAUUUGUCCUUUUGGACCCUCGUUAUACUUUUUCAAUAAUUAAUGUCAAGUAGCAAUAACAGUCUCAAACAAACAUAAACUCACCCCCGUGUGGCUGGUGACAAAGAAAUACCCAAAAAGGAAAAAACACGACACUAUGGAAAUCAUCUUCUCCAGAUAAAAUCAAUAUUAAACUAAAACUACACUGUAAACAACUAUAAACACCAGCAUCCUCAUAGGAAGGAUUAGAGGAUAAUAUAACACACUGUUUAUCGUUGACCAAACGAAACUCAGCCAUCAAGAGAUCUUUCGAAGUCAUAAUUACAAAAUCCCCAAACUCCAAACAAACAUUGAUCCGAAUAAUCGUCAAUGUCAAUUUCAACAUCAGAUCCAUCAAUUUCCCCAAAUCCAAGACUCAAAAAUCAUAAGAAAUAAAAAACUUACAGUAUAAGAAUCAUUAAUCCAGAAAAAGAAAACCCUCGAAUAUCAAUCAAAGAUCUAAAUCGCUCGAUCCAAAACUCAACCCUAAACAACAUAAAUCAAACCACACAAUAAAACAAACACAACCGAUGAGAAAAAAAAAUCAAAUCAUCGCAAUAAACACAAACAAAUCACCUUGCAUGGACGGUUCUUGAUGACGAUGUAGCCGUUCUUCCGGAUAGCUCCGGCCUGUUGUGGGUAAGUCUUGGAGGCUCCGGCGUCGGCCUUGGAUUCAAAGUGAUGCUCCUCGUCCGACAUGACUAAAGAUUGAUUUCGUUCUUCUACAGCCUCCGGUGGGCUUCUUCUUCUGUGUUCACAGUGGGAUUUCGGUGGAAGCGGAAGGAAAACGGGAGGAAGGAGGAGAGUACGAGUCAAGAGGACGAGACCAAUUUAUAGCAUCACGUUUCAACCGGCCACGUAUCGUAUCAAUUAGGGUUUCUGAUGCGAGCCCCUAAACUAUGUUGAUAUUCUUUUUUUUCCCACAUUUCGGUGCCAAAACGAUCUCCACCGUUGCUUCAUUUGUUUAAUCUUUGGACGGUUUGAAUUUUUUAAAAAUAAUUUUUGGCAUAUUUUUAUUUAGAUUUUCUUAAUCUGUGAAAUUACAUAUCACUUUUUUUCUUCUUCUUAUUAUCAUUAGUUAUAUUUGAUUUUUUAAAUGUCACAUUACCUAUCAUUUUCCUUGCAAAUUUGGAAAUUUUAUAGUAUCUAAAGUAUACUUUAACCAACGUUUUGUUAAACAUUUCUAACCGUUGGAUUGUCUUACAAAGUCAAUAUUCUUUUCUUUUUCUUCUUUUGUGCUUUCAAGUUUCCAUCCUAUAAUAAUAUAAUAUUUUUAAAUAUCGUAAAUAGUUUAUCAAUUUUUUCUAUUUUGAAAACAUACAUUUCAUUAGUUCUAGAGUAAUUAUAAUUGAUGACGUUUUUAUGAAUAAUAAUUAAAAAUAUAACAAUAUUUUUUAAAAAAAUCAAAACAAAUCUAUCAUUGAUAUGUAUCGAUGAUAGAUUUGUAUGAUCUAUCAAUGAUAGACCAAUAUUUACAAACAUCAAACAUGAUUUAUGGGUAAUAGUUUUGAUUAGUGACCAAUAGUCUUCUAUCAUUGAUAGAAUUUGACAAAUUUUGCUAUAUUUGUAAUUUUUUUAAAAUGUUACUCUAUAUUUAAUUAUUUUGCACCUAAUGACUAAAUUUGCAAUUAUUCCUUGGUUUUAAGUAUUUUUUUGGAUCGUACAACAUUUGGGUGUCACAUAAAUUUAUAAGAUAAUACUCACAAGUUAUUAAAUCAAAUAUUCUAAUUUUAAAGAUAUUAAUAAAAUUUAUACAUCCAAAUUGCUAAGUUUGUCAAACUAUGUGAUAGUUAUGUGAUGUCGUAAAAAAAAUAGACUUUUAUUAUGUUGCGUGGUAGAUUAUAACGCUUUUUUUAUCACGAUUACAUGAUAAAAUAUAUUUAAUUUAUGAAUUACAAAUAUAACCAAAUUAUAAAUUUAUCGUUAACAUAAUAUGUAUAUAGAAGUUUAUCACCAAUCUCAAUCAAUUAGAGUAAAUUACGGGUGGAUACUUUUUAUAUUCGUAAAUAAACCGUUGCUUAAUUACGAGUUAUAAACAUGCAAUCUAUUGUACUUACUCCAACGAAUGAUACUCGAAAAUAUCAUGUAUUAUAAUUAGAUCUUUGAACAUAAAUUCUUAUUUCCCUUGGACCAAAAUAUUUUUUAAUUAUUGUUACCAGCAUUAUUUCAUUUAGGGCUUGACGAUCUUAUCUUUCUAUGGAUGAAAUAUACCAAACUAUUGUCUUUUUAGCCAUCAAGAACAUCGCUCUCACAAAAAGAAGGUAUUUUGUAAGACUCUGAACUCUUAUCUCUAAUCAAUGAAUAGAAUUAUAAUUGUAUUUUUUUAAGGAUAUGAUACUUUAAUUUUAAUAUAUGCUUUUUUAUAUUGUAUUUGUAACAAUAUACUAUAUAUAGAGAGAUAGAAGUUUAAUUUGUGGACGUCAACCUCAGAUUCAAGUCAUGCCAUUAACAAAAAGAAAACAUAACCAAAUGGGACUACCGACAUUUUCUUAACAAUAUUCGGAAUAAAUUGACAAAAUCGAUAUUUAUUUUUUUAGGAAUAUUUAGUUAUUUUAGAAUUUUAGUGAAUUAUUUUUAAAUGUCAACUGCAAAUAUCAAGUAUUAAGAUCACAAGAGACGAAGCAAAUAUUAAGUAUUAAGAUCACAAGAGACGAAGAUACAUUACUAUUUGCACUAUAUACACAUAUAAUAGUAUGAUACAUCUCAUUGUAGAUAGGUUAUGAUAUCCAUCAAUAUAAAUUUGUUAAUAUAUUAACAAAUAAACGUGAUAUUAUUAAAGUGAAAACGUAAUUAUAUAAGUUGAGAGUGGAAGAAUUUGAAUUUUGUAACAAGUAUAUCUCGGUUGGCCUAAGUUUUUAUUGGUUAUAGGGUUGGCUUACAUUGGAAAAAAAGUUCCAAAGAAUUCAAAGUUUUGGGGAAUUUAGGGAAUAUUUAAGAAGAGAAUUUGGAAUGGGACACUUCUAAAUAAAGAUAAGAAGGAAUCUGAUUGCAUAGUGAGUUGAUAUAUGGAAUUGACCAUUCUUUCAGUCUCUUCGGCUUUGGUGCGCAUCUUCUCAAAAUAAAGUGAACCAUACGGCUACCUUUCGGCAUGUUUUAAUAUCCUUUUCAUCAUGAUUGGAACCUCACCUUUCUUAUUAAAUGAACACAAUUCAAAGGUGCAUGAAUGUCACAAUUCAGUACUAACUUAUUCCAAUUUCCAUCUUGAGUUUCAAUUUAUUUUGUUUGAAUCCUCAUUUCUCCCUAAAUGUAUAAUCCAUGUUUGAUGUUCCACUUAUCUCAACAAGGCAGAAAUUUAUAUGCCAUUUUGAAUAUAGUUUUUAUUUUCUCAUAUGACUUAUUAUUUCCAAAAACUGUUUAUUUUUAUAAAAAUUAUAAUUUAAAAUUAUUCUCAAAUAUAUCUAAAUAUUUACAAAAUAUUAUAGUCUAUUUAUGAUAGACCGUCAUGAGUUAAUAUAGACUACUAUACUCGUCUAUAUGUGUCAUGAUUUAUUACAUAUAAAUUGUGAUAUUUUAAGUUAAAAUAUAUUUUUUUUAAAUUUGUAUUAUUGAUAUCGAUAUCCAACGUUCAUUCCUCCAUUUCGCAUAUUGUCAAAAGAAAUUAAAUAAGAGAAGUAUAUGUGGAAUAAUCUUUAUAAUUUUGUGUUCAAUAAUUCACUUCAAUAACAAACACUAUUGAAGUUUUCCCGUUUAUUGAAGAGUUUUACCUUUCGUUUUCUAUAUUUUGUACUUUUAUAGAACUUUAUAUUAAACUCUACAUCAAACAUAACACUUUCUAACUCCAACCUGGAUGCUCUAAACACCCACUGAAUUUACUAUAAUUAAUCACAACUUAAGCUUUGAGAUUCUUGGAUGAUUUACUGUGGUAUUAGAGGAAAAUUUUACUAUAAUGUUUCAGUAUUGGUAUAAUUGAAUUUAGAAAGAAAAAUCAAUUCAAUGCUAUAUAUCAUCUCAUUCUAAAGAACCUGGACACCAAGAUUGUGACAUACUAAUUUCUAAAUUACUUCAAAACAUGUCUUUAACCAUUCUAAAUCAAUUUUGUUGAUAUGAAAUUUGUAUUUACAAGAGUAGAAGUAAAUAUUAAACAGGUUUUCGAAGUGAUUUUAAACAUGACAAAAUUAUUAGAAAUCACUCCAAAACAUGCGCUAAAUAUGAAAUUCUCAAUUUAAAAACAUAGUGAUGUUUGGCUGUAUCGAAAGCUUCAGUCAUCGUUUCAAUAACAUUAAUCUCUCUGAACUCUGAGGAGGUUUUGUAAAUUGUAGAACGAUGCUUACCCAAGUAGUUGAAGCUGGUCAUAUUGAGAAGCAAGUCUAAGUCGUGAAUGAGAUGGAAUAUGCUUAGAAAUAACUUUUGCAGUUUCUUUCCACCAAGAAACUUCAGAUUCUUUAUCAAUAAUCUCUUGUUUGGCACAUUCUAGAGCCUCUUUGAGUUCUUUUAUCUGCUCUUGCUGCCUUGCUUCUAGCAGUUCAUGCAACUUUCUUUCGAGUUCUACAGGCGGAACUCCUUCUUGCCUCUCAGUCCCAUCUUCUUGGAGAUCAGUGACUUCACCAGAACUCAUACAGCAGCUUCUUGUCGAGUUUGUGUUCUUCGCAGUCUGUCAUUUCACACAACACAGUUUCAGAACUUGCAAUCAAGAAUUGAAUAUGCAGCAUACAUCAUUAAAAUUACAGAUAAUAUGUCAGAAAUAUACAUCUUCAUCCCCUCAAAUAUGAUAAAUCAUUUUGAAUUAUAUUACUACAUGAUGUUAAAAAUUUUAAGUAGGAUGAGUGCUCAUGAACUACCAUAGAUUGAAGACACAUCUUAUCACAUAGAUAUUUCUUCUUUGCUCCUCAAAUCAUAUUACCUACAUCCUUCUAAGAACUUGAGCAGUACCACUGAAGUUAUAUGGCAAAAAGUCCAAAACCAAGUAUUACGGCAUCCCAGAUAACCAGUGUUGGCCAAAAUCAUCAAAAUGGUUAUAAGGAUGAGAUAAAACCAAGGCAUAAGAAAAUAAUUAAUGAUAUUGGGUAAAAACAAUGAUCCGAUCCAAGAUUAAUGAACGACACCAUCUUGAAGGUCGUAUGGAGAAUCCCACAUCUGAAAAUCAAAGGACCUCAAACUACUUGUAAGGCCGAUGGAUUACCCCUUUCAUUAUCUAAUAAUGAUAUAUGUUGGUCAAGAUCUCCAAAAUAGUCCUAAACAAUGAGAUCAAACCAAAGGAUGUGAAAAUCAAUUUUAUGUAGACUGCAAAAACUUUAAGAGAGCAAUUAUGAACCAACCGGUCCCAUCAAAUCAAUUUGGAUAGAAAAAGCUAUCUCGUUCAAUACCUUAAUUCUUAGAUGUUCUAUGCGUCCAGAAGAACUUUCAACUUCCAAGUGAAGCUGUAAACGUUCUAACUCGGCCUCGAAUUCAGAUUCCAAUUCGUCGAUUCGUUCCUGACAUUCCCCAGCUUGUUCAUACAAACAAGACAUCCGGGAAUGAUUUGGUAUAGUUGAUUGUGCAUCAGACACAAUUUGAGAUGAAAAAUCUUGCUGAUAUGAAAGCUGGCUGGUAGAACAAGGACCGUCUUGACAAUCCGUAGACGAACAAGCCACAUCUGCAUUUGAAUGGAAUGGCUCAAAGUGAUUGUCUUUUCUUCCAAGAUCCUCUUUGAUCUCUUGAAGAAAAUGUUCCAUUUCUCUCCUCAAAUCUACCAUCUUCGAAAGUUCAUUUUUACUUGCAAGUACAAGAGACAACAAACUACACCCAACUCCCAAGUUGAAUGAUGUGUCUUCUUUCCUACUCAGUCCUGUGAGUUUUAAGCACACAAGCAAAUUGAAACAAUAAGAGAAAACAAGGACAGCAUAGAGAUAUAGAAAACUCAAUCCAUUAGACUCUCCCAAUCUUGAAAUGGUUAUAAUUACUUUUGUUAUUUACAAAGUUCUUCAAAAACAAUUUCAAGUCUAAUUAUACCCUUUGAGAUGGAAUUUUCAUACCAUUUGAUUUGAUUUUGAGUUAUUAAAAACAUGUUUAGCCAUCAUCAACCCAUAAAAAGAAAGAUCAAAGGAAGUUUAGUACGUUGCCAAUAUAACUUCGAUCAAAUUUUUGUUAUCAUAUGAAAAGUCGGCAUACGAAUUUCCAGAUUCAGAUGUAGGCAUGCAUAAUCCAUUCGGCAUUAGAAAAUUACCAUCUCUUCCGUUUCCUAAUCGUUUUGAUUAACAUUGAUAAAUACACUAGCAUUAUCAAUUCGAAAGCCAUCCUACCAAUUAAAAUCGCAAGCACAAAUCAAUUCGAUCAGUAUACUCACUCACCUGGCCCUACAAUCACUCCCGGUGAAGCUGAGGAAGCACCACCGUCCACUCCAUCCCUCGAGCACCUACAACACGUCAACGGACCAUCAGAAUCUCCACCCUCUUUCACUCUCCUAACCUCCUCAAGCGCUCUCCUCCGCUUCGGUCGCCGGAACGAAGCCACCCACCGAGCAACAAUCCGCCGAGGCGACAAACAGUCAAUGCUCACAGACUCAUCCGACAAGCCACGCACUCGGGACAUACCCAAAUCCCCAGAAAACCCGUCACCGCCCUCGUUUUCUUCCCGGAAAAUAUCAACCAAACGGAAACGACGGCCGGUGGAGUUGCAGGAAUCAGAAACUUCAUGGGAUUUAAAGAGUGGUUUCAUAAGAGAACGUGAUUAAUUCGAAAGAGUAACGGGGCAGAGAGGAAAUUAAAUUCAAAUUAGGAAGUGGACAGAGAAGAAAGUGAAAGGUAUUACGAAUUGAAGAGAGGAAUAUUAAUGGCGUGUAGGAUUAGUUCAGCAAAUUCACGAGAUUUCUCCAUGUUUGAUUAAGAACUUCAAUAACUUCGUCAGUGGUUGAUAAUGGAGAAUUGGCGCUCAAUUAUUUGGUGGUAUUUAUGAAUUUUCAAAAUGAUGUCGAUGACUGAUAAUGAAUUUGGAUUGAACUCAAUAAUUUUUGUGUUCUCUAAUAAUUAUUGCAUUUUGAAUUCCCACCAUUUCAAAUUUCUUUCAAUUAAUGUUUGUUUACUUAAUUUACUAUUAUUAUUUCAUUACUUAAUAUGUCAUUUCGUAUAUUUCCUUUAUCUCGUUUUCCAUACAAAUUAUAUAAUAUUCCAAAAUAUCCGAAAAAAUAUCGAAAAUGGUAAAAUGUUAAAAAAAUAUUAUUUUAGAUUUUACGUUCAAUAAUAUUUUAAAAUGUUUAUAACUUAAAUAUAUAUAAAUUUUAACGAGUUUUAAAUGUUGUAUAUUGAAAUAACAUUUAAAAUAGAGACUUUUUUAAAUUGGCAAAAUAAAUUAAAAUAUUUACGGUUUAUAGCAAAAUAUUUUAGAUUCUAUCAAUAAUAAUAUUUCAUCACUAUAACGUAUCAAUAUUAAUAGUAUUUCAUCAAUGUAGCAUAUCAAUAACUAUAACGGAUAGAAUUUGAGUAGAUUGUAAAUAUUUUGUAAAAUUUGAUAUUUUUAAAAUUUCUUCUUAAAAAUAUGAAUACUCAUCAAAAUUCAUCGAAUUCUUUAUCGUGUCAAAAUAGUUUUAAUUUUAUGUUAUUCAUCAAAAUAUAUCAAAAAGUUAUCAAACAAACUCUCCACUUUAAAUACAAUCUUAUUAACUUUGGCGUAUUAACUUCACUUAUUGGUUAAGCAUACCUAAUUGAAAUAUUAGUUAUGCGACAAAUAUGAAAUCAUUGAACUUGACUUUAAAAUAAAAUAAUAAAAUAUUAACUAUUAAUAAAUCAGGCCUGUCUUUAGCUUCUACAAUUUAGUUAAAUCUUAUCGAACAGCCCUUGUUGUUAGUUCACAUGUUAUGUGUUGUAAUUUUAGUUGUGUUCAAGUUCAAACUUUAACAAAAACAUAAAUAUUAAAGCGAGUUUAACCAAGUGAUAUUGGUAUAAUACCAGUCCUCUUAAGUGAAUGGUUGAGUCUUCUAUCUCCGGUUGUUACACCAAACAAAAAGUAUAAAGUAUAUGAAAAACAUGUAAAAUUUGUUGGUUAAAUGUAAUUUACGAAUGAUUUGUAAUGUUUAACCGAGCAAAUUGCUUCUCUUAUUUUCUUAAUUGAAUAUUAUAUUGUAAGUUUACCAUUUAUUCAGAAAACCCUUUUAAUUUAGGAAAAUAAUAAUAAAGAAUAAUAUAAUAUUUCUCAAGAAGAAAAAAAAAACGAAGAAUAAUAAAUGCACAAAUAAUACAAGAAAUAAAAAUGGCCACAAUUAAAUGGUUUGAUCAAUACCCAUUAAUCAAUUUCUAACUGAAUGACGUUUCCUCUGACGUGGCACACAUCUGACGGAUGAAAAAUUUAAGGUGACAAACAUCUAAUGGAUGAGGUAAGCUCAUGUUGGCGAUGUGACAUUAUUUUGGUUGAUGUGUUUUUUUUUUUCAUUUGGCAUUACUCCCUAACGUAAGGUAACGUCGUAUAAUACACAUAGACAUCCGUUAGCAAUUUUAAUUAUGUAAAAUAAAGAUUAUCUAAGUUUAGCUAAAUCUUGGCAUAAUAAUGUUGAAGUUUUGUAUUUAUCAAAUUUGAAUGAAAUCAUUGUAUAAAAUAAAUGGAAAGAUAAUUUAUUUGAAUAUAUUUGUUAACUACUUUUUUAGAAAAAUCAUAACGUAUUUUGUUACAUUUUUGUUUGUUAAUAUAUUUGUUAACUUCUUUGUAAUGUAGCAUAGUUUUAUCUCUUUUUUUGUUAUUUAAUUUAAGAAAUGUAAAUUUAGUGUAGUUGUUUAAUAUUUAUGAGGUAUAUUUUUUUUUCCUUUUAUAUACACGUAUAAAUUUAAAGUUUUACAUUGUUGUCAAAACAAGUACAAAUCAACUGACAUUAAGCAUAUACUCAAGAGUCGAAUUUUAUAUUACAAUUUGUUCAAAAAAAAAGUUUUAUACUAUGCUUAUGAGUUUAUAUUAAAAUAGAGAUUUGUAUUUAAAUAGUAUAAUCACAACGACAAUAUUAUGUUGAACGACUCAAAUUUUAAAAAAUAUUUGAAAACCAACAUUUUGGCUUAAGUCGCAUUGAGCUUUACCACAUUUGAAUACAUCAUCUUGUUAGAAAAAUGAACGUCACAUCCAUCGCAAAAAGGCUUUUUUUAAAGGGAAAUUGCAUCAUAUGGAAAAGAAAAAAAAAGUAGUCAAUAACUUUUUUUUUUUUUUUGUCUAUUGCAUAUAUGAUAAAUAUGACAAGUAAUUAGAUAUAUUAGAUGACUAUCAGAAAUCUAUCGAUUUUUAAAUUUACUAAUUUUUGCAAUUCAGAAAAUGUAGUGACACCAGUUAUAUUCUCAUGAAACUUUUUACUAUUUUUGUAAACGUCUUAUUUUUUAAUAUAUGUUUAUUUCAAUUGUUUUUUAUAACUGUUGUUUACUUCUUUUAAAGUUGCCUAAGAAUACAACUUUUUUUAUUUAUCCAACUAAAUCAGAAAUUGAGAGAAAACAAGCUUAAAUUUCAAAACAAAUAAAUGAAAUGCUUACUAAAACGACCUUUUGUUUUAUUUGUUCGUUUUACAUUAUUGAAUAGAAAAGUUCGAAUUCUUGGAUAAAUUUAGAAAACAUUUGUUUAAAAACUUGUUGUCUCCCUCUUUUUUUAUUUUCAAAAUUUGGUUUGUUAGGUUAAAAAACAUAAGAAACUGCAUUAGGUGAUAAAUUAGUUUAGCGAUUUUGCAAAAAUAUCUUUAAAAUUUGUGAUUUUACAAAUAUAACAAAACUAACGAAAUUCAUAGUGUGGGUUGAACUUCUUUUUUUACAAAUAAUAAAGAUACGUGCUAAAUACUUAAUUACCAUAACUUGUUUGACCAUUUUUAUAAGUGCCUCUUCACGUAUUCUUUAAAAUAUAUAACAAAGUAAAGAAUAUUAAAAUUGAAAGAGACAUUUUAAGUUUUGUUUAUAAAUUCCAAAUACUACCUAAAAGUUGUAAGUAAAUUAGAGUAUCCCAUUAUUUCUAUUUUAUUAUUUUCCUUUUCACUCUUAAAGAUUUUGAUUUCAAUUUUAAUAUAAACAUGCAUCACAACAAAGUAUGAGUUUUUUCUCGAUAGAAAAGUAAAUCAAAAUACUUAUAAAUAUAACAAGAUUAUAUCAGUUUAUUUAUAAAAAUAUUUGUAAAUAUUUUCAUCAUUCGAUUGAUUUAAAACAAAUGUUCAUCAAAUAUAUGAUCAAAAAAUGAAAAUAACAUAUAUAUACACAUAAUUUAAAGAAGAAUUUUAAACAAUAAUAAAUUUAACAAAAUAUUUACAAUCUACACUGAAUUCUUUGACAUAUUCAUAUGUUAGCAGUAAAAGACUAUUUCAUUACAAGAAUAUAAAAUUUUAGUGUAACUUGUAAAUAUUUUAAUUUAUUUUGAUAUUUUAAAAAAUAGUGGUUAUUUAAAAAGAAAGAACUAAAUGUUACAAAACGGCCCACAUAAGCCCAAAUUUAAAAGUUGAUUGAGAUAAUUUAAAGCUUUAUUAAAUACACAACAUAUUAAUGUGCAUGAAGAUUGAGGAGCGCACGUGUCAAAAGCCGAACAAGUACAGAUCUCAUCUAACUUACAUCAUUUUGUUUUAAUAUUUCACGCAAAGAACAAAAGAAAAGUUUUUUUCUUUUUUAUUUAUUUUAAAUUUAAAUGUUGAGGCCAAAACAAUUAAAAAAAGUAAAAUUAUCAAAAGGUUUUCAAUUGACUUUAGCGUUUGUAUAAUUAGUUUUGUCUUAAAUUUAGUUUGGUAGAAUUUUCAUUACUUUUUAUUAGCAUUUUUGUUAUAAAUUUUAAAAAUAUAUUAUAAUUAUCUUAAUAAAAUAUUUUUUAAAAAUAAUUAGAAUAUUUACCAAACUAUAACAAAAUUUAAUUUUGAAUUAUAUAAUUUAGAGAAGGUAUCAGUUUAAAAUCAAUCUCUCUUAUAUUUGGUUAAAUUUAUUAUUUUUGACAAAAUUUUAUUUUAAUAAAAACCAACGUUUAUAAAUAGGAUAUUUUAUUAUUUAAAAAAUAUAAAGAUGAAAAUGGAAGAAAUUUGAUAGAAAAGAAAUUAAAAAAAAGAAAAAGAAAAAUGUCAUCGUCAUUAAGAAUUAAGAUUGAUUUACUAUGGGAAGAAAAGAGAAAAGAAAUAUUAAUUUAACGCAAAUCUUUCUGAAAAGAGAAAAGAAAAAAGAUUCAAGAGAGACGCAAAGAGGAGAUAGAUAAAGACAAAGCUCAGAUCCUCCAUUAACAACCGCCAUAUCCAAUUCUUCUUUGUUUACAGUAUUUUCUUUAUUUCUUCCUUAAUCAAAUUUCUUGGAAUAUUCCACCACUUUCUCUCUAAACCCCAAAACUCAUUUCCAUUUUUGUUCCCUUUUUCCCCCUCAUUUUCUUUUGGUUCUUUCGGACAUUGGAGCUUGAAUUGAUUGAAAGCUAAGUCAAUCAAUCCUUUUCUUCUUUUUCUUCUUUUUCUUCACCAUGAAACCUUAAGUGUAAACGUGACGGCAACAACGAAAGUGUUUCCUUCAAGGCCAAUCAAAAAUUUAUUUCCAUUUUUUGGUUCCGGAAUUUACACUCUCUGCCAUACACAAUCAUGGCCUUCUGCAAUUGAUCGUUCGUCUUCGGGAAUUUGGUGAUCCGCGUGGGUGAAAUUACCUGCAAUGUGUUUUCGUAAUGCGGCUUCUAAUUGGGGAUUUGAUUCUUAACAACUUCGUUUUCUGUUUAUUUGGAUCUCAACCCCAAUUUCUCAAUGGCCUUAUUUCGCAAAUUCUUUUAUCGGAAGCCACCCGACGGGCUUUUAGAGAUAUCCGAAAGGGUUUAUGGUAUGUCCUACUUAGGUUAACUGUUGAUUGAAGUUUGGUAUUUUUGGUUUGAAAGUAAAAUGGGAGUGUGGAUUUUACAAUGAUUGUUUGCUAAUCAUUCUUAAUUGUUGUUUUCCCAAUGUAUCUUGCAUGGUGAAGGGGUUAUUAGUUCUGGAAAUUGUUAUGGUUUUGGACUAAACGGAAUACCAAGUUACAUUAUGGUAUUUUAUAGGAAAAUUUGUUACUAAAAGUUACUCUAGCUGUUGUUUUUGUGGGCCUUUAUAAUCAUUGAGUUGUCCCUAUUUGGAAUUUAUAAGAUGAACCCCUUUGCUGUAAUUUCGUAGAACUUGCUGUUGUGGACUCUUUUGUUUCCUUUCAAAGCUAGACCUCAAGUUAUCUUCCUUCUUCCUUUAAAGUUACAGUCAUUAUCAUGCAUUAACUCUUUCAUUGUAUGUGCAUUCUUUUUCUUAACUUGGAUUGUGUAUGUUCAAGUUUUUCCCCUUAAAGAUACUGCAAAUUCAAACCUUAACUCCCCAAAACAUUCCGUGCGUUAAAUUGUGAGUAUUGAAUGAAUAUUUCAAGUUUUUAAAUCCUUUCCUCUCAAACUUGUGAAUGCACGUGUAGUUUUGCUUGAUUGUAGAUGAUUGGGAAGUAGGAUAAACCAGUGAAUGUAUGUGCAGUUUUCGACUGCUGCUUUACAACGGAGGUGUUGGAAGAAGACGAAUACAAGGUCUAUAUUGGAGGGAUUGUGGGGCAACUUCGUGAGAGUUUGACAGACGCCUCAUUCAUGGUGUUCAAUUUCCGAGAAGGGGAGCAUCAUAGCCUCAUUACUAAUAUAUUAUCUGUAUAUGAUAUGACUGUCAUGGACUAUCCUAGACAAUAUGAAGGCUGCCCUUUACUCACCAUGGAGAUGAUCCACCAUUUCUUGAGAUCCAGUGAAAGCUGGCUCUCACUUGGGCAACAGAAUGUACUUUUAAUGCACUGUGAAAGAGGGGGGUGGCCAGUCUUGGCUUUCAUGUUGGCCGCUCUUCUGAUUUACAGGAAGCAGUAUGCAGGGGAGCAGAAAACUUUGGAUAUGAUUUACAAGCAAGCACCUAGAGAACUUUUGCAGUUGAUGUCACCACUUAAUCCAUUGCCUUCACAGUUGAGGUAUCUUCAAUAUGUAUCAAGAAGAAAUGUGGGCUCUGAAUGGCCUCCUCUUGACAGAGCCCUUACACUAGACUGCAUAAUUAUUAGAUGUAUUCCUAAUAUGGAUGGGGAGGGUGGUUGCCGCCCAAUAUUUAGGAUAUAUGGACAGGAUCCGUUUAUGGCUGCUGAUCGAACUUCCAAAGUAUUGUUCUCAACCCCCAAAAAGAGUAAACUUGUUCGUCAGUAUAAGCAGGUGAUCGCGGUUUUCCCUUUUAAAUAGAGGAGUAUUGCCCAUUUUUUUAUUCUCUAUACUUAUUAAUUUUUCGUGUCUGUUGGGAGUUGUUUUGUUUUAUCUGUUCAUCCAGUCUUUUCGAUGCCAAGGCUUAUUAAUUUCUGCUGAUUGGUAUUGGUAUUUCUAUAAACUUCUCUUCUUUUUAGUUAUAUGUUGUUCAUCCAUAUGGGUUAGGUCGGAAAAUUUUGAACAAUGAUUUUCUGUUUUUAUGCCCUGUUCUCUCUCUCUUUUAAAAAACGUUUUAUAGUUUAAUGUAGCUGGGAUCAUAUAACUAGUCUUCAUUGAAGUAAAUGCCAACCGUGAAACUUAAAUGGUAAGAGAAGACAUAUAGGAUUUUACUUCCCAAGGAAUCAUUCCUGGUUUUGUCAUUGGAGGAAGCCUGCAAAAUUUUUGAUGUGUAUUGUUGCCAGCUUGUAGGAGCUGACUGUUUUUUUUUAAUUCUUUCACACUUUGUUACAGGUAGAUUGUGAACUAGUUAAAAUUGAUAUCCAUUGCCAUAUCCAAGGUGAUGUUGUUCUUGAAUGUAUAAGUUUGGACAAUGAUCUGGAAAGGGAGGAAAUGAUGUUCCGAGUUAUGUUUAACACAGCAUUUAUCAGGUCAAAUAUUUUGAUGCUUAACCGUGAUGACAUUGAUAUUUUAUGGCAUGCAAAGGAUCAAUUUCCAAAGGAUUUCAGAGCAGAGGUAUGUUCGCUUACUGUUUUCUUUUCAUCCCCCUUUUCUCCGUUUCAUUCUUUCUUAAAUUAUUCUAAUUUUUUAUUGUGUUUAUCUUCUCAAGAAUAAAUAAGUUACGUGUUUGGAUGAAGGUUCUUUUCUCAGAGAUGGAUUCUUCCGCUUCACUUAUUUCAAUUGAAUUGCCAAAUAUUGAAGAGAAAGAUGGCCUUCCAAUCGAAGCCUUUGCUCGAGUUCAAGAGAUCUUUAGCAAUGUGGACUGGCUAAGCCCAAAGGCAGAUGCAGCUCUUAACGUGCUUCAGAAAAUAACAGCUUCAAAUUUACUUCAAGAGAAGCUGCUUAGUUCUGGCUCUUUAGACAGAAGGCAAUUACUUGACUUAUCUCUUGAAAAACUAAUCUUGGAAUCAGAGACAUCUGAAGAAAAUAUUAGAAGUCCCCGAUUGAAGAUACAGACAAAGUCUAAGCUUUCUUCCGAAUUAUCUAAAGCUGCAAGUUCAGUGAUAUCAAAACUUGAACCCUCAGAAUUGCAGGUUGCUCUCCAACUACCACCUCAGUCUAAAAUAAUCACUCAACGAAUACCUCAACCGUCAUUGUCUACGCCAGUCUCCUUCCGUAGUUCUAUGCAAGGUUCACCUCGCCCUAUACUAAGAUAUCACAGUGCACCCUCAGCUCUUGGCAUUACAGCUUUACUACAUGAUCAUUCCGAUUUUAUUGGUAAAGAACUUAUACAUUCAGGGACAACAUCUUCACCAUCAUCUGCUCGGUUGAGUCCAACUGCUCUAGAUUCACCUAGAGAUAUUCAACGUAGUAACCUUCCUAUUUCUCCUCUCCCUCUAGUAUUAGACGCAAGAUCUUCAUUAGAAAAUUCUUUGACCACCGCAUCAACUACAACCAUUCCUGAUCCACUGCCCCUUCACCAACUUUCUUUGAAACCUAUUAAAUAUUUAGUUUCUCAACCGACUCAAACCACAUCACAAGUGAGAAGUCAAUUAUCACCAUCUUCAUUACAACCAACUUCUGCCUCUUAUAUUGGGGAAUCCCCACCCUCUCUCAAUGAUAGCGAAGCUUCAAUAUCAUCUUCCUCUCCUUUGUCAAGAUCAUCUCCAUCUUCUUGUACUAAAGAAUUAAUUUCCGUUUCCACUCCUCCUCCUCCUCCUCCCCUCCCCCAUUUUGAUUCACCUUCAGCUUUAGCAACAUCUCCACCUUCUAGUAGGACGAAUGGUUCGAUUUUCCCAUCCUCACCACAACCGCCUUCUACGACAAAACUGUUAUCUUCUAUCAAGAAAACAACUCAACCUGCUCCUCAAUUUUCUUCGUCUGAUGAUCAUCUAGUUUCUUCAGAGUCACCUAUAAAGAACUCGAAGAGUGUCUCUCCCCUCCCCCUCCCCCUCCUCCUCUCCUCCUCCUCCUCCUACUCCUACUCCUCCUCCUCCUCCUCCUCCUCCUCCUCCUCCAUGUUUUAGCCCUAACUUAGGCACUAGUGUUGUCUCGCCGACAUCAGUGCCUCCGCCCCAACCUCCACCUCCACCUCCUUCAUGGAAGGACUCUACGAACACAUUCAUGCAUGUCCCCCCAGCUCCACCUCCAGCCCCACCCUUGCCUCCAUCUUCUUUCAGUUCUACAUUUACUUGUGGUUCUAGUAUCACGCCUUUAGGGCCACCACCACCGCCACCACCUCCUUCAAGUCAUGCACCACAAGAUUUUGCCACAGUAGUUAGGACCUUGAUGAAUGCAUCUGGCCCUCCACCUCCCCCACCUCCCUCGUUACAUUCAUCUCUAGGUUCUAAUACUGUAUCUUCAGUGCCGCCCCCGCCACCCCCUCCUAGUCUUGCAGUAAAUGUUGCAACAACCGUUAACUUGACACAUGUCAGCCCCCCUCCUCCUCCUCCUCCACCAUUAGCAAAUUCUGGACCCACCUUAUGUCCAGGUGUUGCAACGUCAGCUCCGCCUGCUCCACCUCCUCCAGGUUUCUCAAUGGAAGGUUCUGCAACACAUGCUCCACCUGCACCCCCUCCUCCAGGUCUCAGCGGUAAUAAACUCUCAAAUGUCAAUGGUACUUCCUCACAGUCUCACGUUGGCGUUAAUAACAGCAACAUACCUUCUGUUCCUGGACCACCUUCCAGUGCUCUAUUCAAUGCAAAGGGACGUGGCCUUGGACGUAUGAACUCCAAAAACCAGUCUCAACCUAAAAGAUCCAAUCUAAAGCCUUAUCACUGGUUAAAAUUAACGAGGGCCAUGCAAGGAAGCUUAUGGGCAGAGACACAAAAGACCGAUGAAGCUUCCAAGUACGUGUCAUAUAUUUUAGUUCUCUUAUAUGUUAUAAAUUUCCUUCUGUUAAUUUAGUUAAUUUUUAUGUGAUAGAGCUCCGGAGUUUGACAUGUCAGAACUUGAAAGUCUUUUCUCUGCAGCUGCACCAAAUUCAGACUCUGGAGGUUCGGGAAAUUCAAAUCGCCGAGCCUCAGGGCCAAAAUCAGAUAAAGUUCAUUUGGUAAUCAAAGAAAUAAACUUAUUGUCACAUUUAUUUCUUUUGAAGAAUCGAGUCAGUUUUGACAUAAUUUUAGCCAUCUAAUAAGCUCAAUCCGAUUGACUGUGUUCUGUUAGUGAAAGAAAAUAGUAUUUCUUAAUUUGCGUACCACCCUACAUUUAAGUAUCAACUGAAGCAUAGCAUAGACUCUUCUCUAAGUUUAUACCAAUACAGUUACAUCUACCUGUGGUUGAGUUUCUCAUCAGCAUGGGACAAAUUUAAGUUGGCUAGUUCAUUUGUUGCAAACUCAAUUUAUGUUUCAUGUUUCUACUUGUUCUGGCAGAUUGAACUUCGCCGGGCCUAUAAUUGUGAAAUUAUGCUUUCUAAAGUUAAGAUUCCUUUGCCUGACAUGAUGGUGAGUGAUGAUUUGCCUUUUCUUUGAAGCCAAACCGAUUGUUUCGAACAAUUAUGAACCGGAUACUAAACAUCUUGAUCAGUUCGUUGAAAAUAUAAUACAUUGCAAUGUUUCUGAUGAUUUGUUUUGGUAUUACCAUUCUCAGUGUUCAGUCCUUGCAUUGGAUGACUCGGCAUUAGAUGUGGAUCAGGUUGACAACCUAAUCAAGUUUUGUCCAACAAAGGAAGAAAUGGAAUUACUAAAGGUGCUUCUUUCCUUCUGUGCAACUGCUUACAUUCGUUGGCCUGAAUCAUAUUGCAUUUCCUUUAGUUUGCACUAAUUCUUUGUGGUUGGCUUUAACCUCUACCUUAAUUUUGUUUGAGACUCUUCUCUGACAUUGAUUUUUUUGCUUUUACAUUCAGGGGUACGGUGGGGAUAAGGACAACUUGGGAAAAUGUGAACAAGUGUGUUAAUACUUUCUCUUUCAUUCUUUCACCUUCCAGCUUGCUCCGUUUUUUUUUUAAUUUAUUUUUUAUAAAGAUUAUAGGCAACUUAUCAUGCUACUCAAUCCUUAUUCCCAUGUUCUCAUUUGAACCAUGGCUUGGGAAAAAAAAGAAAUCCUAUUUUAGCAUCUGAGUCCCUUCUUUUAUAUAAUUAUAUGCUUUGGUUUUCUUGUUAUUUAGAGAAUCUGUUUGCUACAAAAAAUUAACCUGCUUGUGUCUUCUUCCCAACAGUUCUUUUCUGAAUUAAUGAAAGUCCCACGAGUAGAGUCCAAGCUAAGGGUAUUUUCUUUCAAGAUACAAUUCCGAUUGCAGGUGAGGGGACAACCUAUUUAAUUAUUCCCUUCCUUUUUCCUCUUUCCUUUUUUAUAUACUUGUCACCAAUUUCACUAUUUUCACUUUCUAGGCCUCUGACCUUAGAAAUAGUCUGAAUACUAUUAAUUCGGCAUCUGAAGAGGUAAAUGAUAUUCUUUUAAAUUUCCUUAAUUUAGGUGUGUUGUUUGAACAUUUUCACAUUUUAAACCCUUUUCUCCAUGUGCUAGUCAGAUCAGAAGUUCGGUAAAGUUGAAAAGGGUAAUGCAAACUAUCCUUUCACUGGGUAAUGCUUUGAACCAUGGAACGGCUAGAGGUGAGAGUCUUUUCCCUUAACAAAUAUGCAUUGCAGUUUUUACCGUCUAUAAUAUGUGUGGACGGUGGCGAAACAUUAUUUUGAAAAAAAAAAUUCCUUAAUCUCUUUAGGUAAUAUAGGUGCCUCACUUUCAAAAGUGAAGGUUAAAAUAAUUACAAUAAGUAUUUGUUAUAGAAUCAUAUCCACGGUUUGCAUCUUUAAGAAUUGACCAUAAUAAUUAAGAAGGUAUUAUUUGUGAUGGCAACAUAAAGUUCAUUUAUUAUUAUUAAUAUUUGUUGGAGUUCAAAUUAAUGCACGUUCAUGACCGUACAUUAUUUUUCAUAAUUCUCUGGUUUAAUUGCAACUUCUUUUGAAUUCUAAGUCAUUUUUAACUUGUACCAAUCUUAUAUCAUCAUCAUUAGUUUCAUGUACCCAAAAAAGAAAAAAAAGAAAACCAUUGAAGAAGGGAGCCCUCCUAAACAAGGAGCUCCAACUAUAUGAAUUAGAAUCUAUAAAAUAGUUACAAAAGGUCUACGCACAUAGGGAAAUGUAGUAUUGAACAAUCAACCAAGCAUCAUUUGGAUCCUUCUUCAGCCCUCUAAACACUCAAUCGUUCCACUCCCUCCAAAGAAUCCAAAGAAUAACGCACACCCCAAGAAUCCCAAAAAAAGCAUUAUUGAUUACAUACACACAUACAUACUACAGACAAAUGGUUCUAGAUAGAACUCUACUUAUAAACUAACUUUUUUAGCGUAUAUUUACAAGUAUGCAAUGCAUAAGGCACUAGAUACGUUAAAUUGAAAAGCUUAUAACUUUAAAGUAGUACACGUGGUUACUGGUUCUUACUCUUUUCGCUUUAUAAUUGUGUACACUGACAAUUUUUAUUCAUGCUAUGGAAUGUCUUUUGUUUCUGUUUUACUAUUAGAAUUUAGAACUUUUGAAUGGUAUCACCAAGACCUAUGAGUUAUUUCCAUUGUUCAUGUAGGUUCCGCUAUUGGAUUUCGGCUUGAUAGUCUUCUCAAACUCACUGAUACACGAGCCAGAAACAAUAAGAUGACUCUCAUGCAUUAUCUAUGUAAGGUAGACUUCUCCUAUUUUGCUUGUCAAAUAAUUUUACUGGCUUGCACUCAGUGUAUUUCGGUCUUCUUUGUAUUAUAUUUCAGUAAGAACAUCCUUCUUCUAGUGAAGUAAACUCCCGUCCCACCUGCAUUUAUUACCAAUGAUUUGCUAUAAUUUUCAUGUCAAUGCUAUAAUUUCUUGAUAGUUCUGCAGAAUGAUGAAGUCUCAACAUAUAACGUGAGUAAAUAGUAAAGUUGACCAUGAAAGAACCCUUUCCAAGCGUGGACCACAAUCCAUUUUCUGAUAAUGAACAGAACACCUCAACUUCUAAUAUAGCAACAAAGAUUGAUAGUAAUCUGACUGUUAGAACUAUAUAAAGGUAGCAUUGGACAUGCACUCGCACACGCAUACAAAAAAUCUAAAUGGCUGGUGGAAUGGACUUACUGAAUUGAUGAAAUGGACAAUGAUACCCUUAAGAUUCGGUAUAACCUGCCAGUUUAUAAAUAUAUGGUAUCCCACUGAGAUUAGUUUUAUUAUUUGAGAGGAAGAAAAUUUAAUAUGCUAGAUUUUUAAUUUUUCCACUUUUAUAUUCAGAAGUUGAUGAGUCAACGGUUAGCAUUUGUAGAAUGCUAAUACCCCUCCUUUUGCUUUGUGCUUGCUGAAAAGGGAGGGAAGAAUAAAAUGAAGUUUCCAUGCUAUUAAAGCCACUUUUAAGAUUACGUUGAUGAGGAUUGGAGUUCUGUGGCAUAUUUUAUACACGUAUAUGUUAAUUUGUGAGAUAUCUACCUGAUCGAUUUGCAGGUUCUUGCUGAAAAGCUGCCAGAACUUCUAGAUUUUCCGAAGGACCUUGUGAGUUUGGAAGCUUCUACGAAGGUAGAACUUCUUCAAUUGUUUAAUUUCUUUGCGGUUGUGACCAAUUUCCAUUGCUAUUCUGUAGGUAAAGUUUAUCGUUUGGUUAUGAUGCAGAUACAACUGAAGUACUUGGCAGAAGAAAUGCAAGCCAUAAGCAAAGGGCUUGAGAAGGUUGUCCAGGAAUUGGCCAAUUCAGAGAAUGAUGGACCCAUUUCUGAAAUUUUCUGCCGGGUACUGUAAUAUUUAAUGAAUGGUAGUUUUAUUUUUUUAAAGUUCUAAAUUAGUUUGUUUAAGACAUGGUAGUUUACCCGAUCUUACAAUUAAUUUUCAGACUUUAAAAGGCUUCCUUUCUCAUGCCGAGGCAGAAGUGAGGUCUCUUGCCUCUCUUUAUUCUAAUGUGGUAUGUUUGGUACUCUUUCCUUCAAAUUUAUUAUACAUCCUUAAAGCAGCAUUGUCAAUUCUCCAACUAUGGGAAUUUUCAGGGUAGAAAUGCCGAUGCACUGGCUCUUUAUUUCGGCGAAGAUCCUGCACGUUGCCCUUUUGAGCAAGGUAUUUGCUACUACCACUUAACCAUAUCCCUUCCUUUGCCCCAAUCAAGAAUAGAACUUUGCCAAUACUUGCUAUUAUUCUCGAACAACUUUGAAUUGAAAUGAAUAUUAUUGCUAUUAUCCAUAUAAUCUGUUGCUAAAAUCCAAAGCAUUAUUGUUUGGAAUCAGUUGUUUCUACACUGUUCAAUUUUGUGAGGAUGUUUGCGCGAGCGCACGAAGAAAACUGUAAGCAGCUUGAAUAUGAAAAGAAAAAAGCACAGAAAGAAGCGGCAGAAAGGGAGAAGUUGAAGCUCGGUACUGCGAAAAAGGAGUCAGGAUUCUUAAUGCAGACUCAAAUCUAGCAUAGCAACGUCAAAGCUAUCUGAAGUGUUCUAACAAACAUUUCUGCAACAUUACUAAGUUAUCCUCCAUAAGCUGAUAUUACGUUAUGACCAAAGUAACCCAUAACCAAUUGAUCGUGCACAAUCGAAUAACGCCAGCGUCAAUGUCGCUCAUCUUGGAUAGAAGGACGUUUCAGAGGCACAGGAUGUAGAAUAAGUAGCCAGUGCUGGGAUAAAACUAAAAACCAGUAAGUCUUCUACCAAACUUUUGUAAUAUUUCAUAACAACAGAAGAAAGAAGAAAUUAAAUAAUUAAUAGCCUUAUAGGAGUGUGAAACUCAUCAGCCAUUGUUGCUGUCAUUUGUUUGUGUAAUGAGUUACUAGUAGAGUGGUAGAUAUUCUUUGGUGAAGCUUAAGGAAGUCAUGUGUUUGAGGCAGAAGCACUCAAAUGAUGGGACUUUCUUGGUUAGAUCAGAAUUUUGGUGUAAAAUAUAUCAUAUAUGUAAUUGUAGUUUUGUUCAUGUUCUAUAUAUAAUUACAUUCUUUCCCCACCAAUUCUUUCUUUUUUCCUUAAAAAUAACAAAACUGAUGUGGGGUGGGGAGGCCUUUUGGACUGUGGUAGGGUUCAUGUGUGUAACUAUUGUACAUCUUACUGUAAAUUAAAGAUUUGGGCAUUUGAAUUGGGUCUAACGAGAAAUGAGUCGUGGAACUUUUAAUUUUGUUUUUUAAAAAAGAAUUAAAAUUAAGUUUUUAUGUUUUAUAGAACACAGUAUAUCCAUAAAUUUUAAAAAUUUUAAAAAUUCAAAAGUUCAGACUUUAAAAAGCUAUAAUAUUUAACUUAGAAGUUUAAAUUUAUUUUUCUCUAAUUAAUUUUUUUCUUCCUUUCUUACUCGAAGAUUAUUAUUAGAGAAAUUUUUGUUAAUAAUAACUUUUUUUUGUUAAUAAUAAAAAUUGUUUGAACAUAAUAAAAUUUUAAAUUCUACUAGAAUCUUCUAUCAAUGUUAAAUUAUAUCGAUAGGAUGAUUGUGAAAAUCAUGUAAAAACAAAUGAUUAUUCUAAACCCUAAAUUCUAAUCUAUAAACAUUGAAUGAAGUAAGAUAAAUAAAAUCUGGAAUAAAUUUUGUUAUAUUUUGUAAAUUUUUUGGUUUAUUGUACUAAAUUUAAAAGGAGCGUUUGCAUUUGGCAAAAUAGCAAAAAAAAUUAUGAUAAAAUAAGGUCAAUGUCACAUUUUCUAAAUUACAAAAAUAAUAAAUGUAAAAGUAAAUAAUUCUCUACUAACUCUUCCAUAGCCAUCUUAUAUCAUUUAUUAACUUCCAUCUUAUAUCAUUUAUUAACUUUAUUUGUCCUAUUCACGUCAUGGAAAAAAAAAGAUGCCAUGAGUUUUUUUAAAAAAAAAAUUUUGUUGCAAUUUUUUUAUUUAAAAAUGGUUCUUUUUUCUUCUUAUGGCUAUGUUAACAUGCCAUUUGGGAUAGUGCAAAUAUCUAACCAAUCUAUGUGCACUAAAUUCAACACAUUAAUUACAUUACAUACCAUAUAACUAAAAAUAACCAUAUUCUUAAGUCUAAAAAUGCAACUAUUUUUCUAAGAAAAAGAGAGAAAAUUACACGUUACAUGUAAUGGUUGACUACGAAUAACAUUUAUAUUUUUUUCCAUGAUAAUAGACAAAACUGAAUGUCUAUGAUAGAGAAAGAUUUUAAAUAGGAAAGACAAAAAAAGGUGGACGUGUAAAACAUUCAUAACAUAUAUAUUAAAUAUCAUCUUGGUUCUUAUACUUUAUAAUUAAUUUAAUUCUAAUUCUUAUACUUUUCAAAUGUUCAACUAACUUGAACUUUCAAUAAAUCUUAAAUUUAGACUCUAUUACUAGUUUGUCAUCGUAGUUUUUUCAUUAACAUUUUUAUUAUAAAUUUUAAAAUAUUCAUAUAUUGUACUUUGUGAAUGAAAAUCAUUAUAAUUAUUUAAUCAAUUUCAAUAAAAUUAACGUCGACCGAUUCAAUUUAGGAUUUAUUAGAGUUAUAUGGACUAAAAUUGAAUUUUUUUAGAUAUUAUUAGUGAUAGAAAGGAUGGGAAAAGAACAAAUAGGGAAGAAAAUAAUGAAAGAAAAAUGGAAGUCAAUGAGCAUUGAAAUUCAAACAAUUAUUAAUCCCAAAUAACCUUUGAAUUGAAAUUGAUAGAUUCACAAAACUCCAAACUCCUUUUCACGCACGACAAGUUUAUGUAAUUGUGUCCGUCAUUAAUUAUUUUCUCUUCAGUCAACUUUUGCGGACGCUUUUUCUUUUCCCAUUAUUUCUUCCACUUUCCAUACUUCGCUCUCUUAUUCUUAUGUUUUCUUCUCCUUUUCCUUUCCAUCAUUCCACACAAACCCUAAUGCAUUAAUUAACUCUCUCGAUAUUCCAUAUCCCGUAGACGGCUCGAGUCCGCCUUCAACUUUGAGAGAGAGAGCCAACCGGCCAAUAAUACCCAAUAAUUGUAGUUAGCUCAAUUGAUAAAUGCAUGCAUGUCGUCUCAACCAUUUUGAUAUGAAGAUUCGGUAUCCAUAAUGGACUCGAGUCCUUCAACUGUGUGAGAGAAAUUAGCUUAUUUCAUGAUUUGAUGUAGUUUGGUUAAACUAAACUUUAUAUGGAUUGUUUAUAGAAUGUCUGUGAUAAAUUUUUCUAGUACAACACAUGUGAUAAUAGAGAGAUUUGAACUUUUGGCAUCAUUAAUUGUUUAGAGAAAGUGCUUAAUUCUUAGGUAUUGUUACAUAGUCCUUUAACUAAUCAAGCUAUAUUUAAGUUAAUAUUUCUUACCUAUCUUAAAGUGACUCAGUUGGUGAGGUUGGAUCAAACCAAAGGAAUCAUAGUUGAAAAUUUUAAAAUUAAUUUAAGGGGCAUUUGUGAAACUUUUAAAAUCCUCGAGAUAAGAAAAAAGUGGAGGAAAAAAAAACUAAUCAAAUUGGCUAAACUUAAGACUUUUUCCCUUCACUACAACAACCACAAAACAUGAACGAUCGAACCUUUGAUUUGUACGAAAAAAAAUCAUGUCAAUUAUAAUUGAGCUUAACUCAAUUUGACAGCUAACUUUAAGUCCUAAUAAAGACUUUGGUAAAACAAUACAACAAAUGAUUGAGUUGUUUUAAUUUCACAUUUCCUUGCUAAAGUUUUAGGCUAAUUAUUAACAAUUUAUAUUCUCUCUACUUUCAAUUUUGUAAUAGUUUAAUUUCUAAACUUUAAUAAAUAAUUAUAUCUUAACCAAUAUAUUUUUCAUUUCUUAACGACUUAGUUCCCUCCUUUGAAAAGUAUUAUUAAUAAUUCAAAAAUAGUUUGAAAACUACUUAUGAAUCAAACUUCGUUUGUAACAAGUAACAAUAAUGACUUAACCAAUACAUUUUUCAUUUCGGAACAAUGUAGUAAUAGUAAUAAUUACAAAAAAGGUUUGAAAGCCACUUGGAAAUUAAACUCCGUUCGUGAAUUAUAAAGACGUAUUACGUCGUCCCUUAUUCCAAUUGUUAUACAUUCCAAAGUUUACAAACUAAAUUAGUUACUAAUCAACUAUCUAAGUACGGACUAAAUUGAGAAAUGUUUUUCAACCUAUUUUGUAUAUAUAGCUUGAAUACUUUUCAUAUGUAACACAAGACUUUGGGAUAUGGAAAAAAUUUUGGUCAGGAUGAUUAAAUUCUUUUCAUAUCUCGAAAAUUUAUCAUCUGGGUCGUUUUGUUUUGAAUUUUUUUGGAACAAACUGAAAAGAAUUUGAAGAAUUAUUAGGGAUUUUUAUGUGAAAGCUAAUUUGAAUCCAAAUAGAAGGUCCUUAGUUGAUGAGAAUCUAGAUAUGGUCUUUGUUAAUUUGGACAAAAAAUUUCUACAUUAACCACAUAAUUAAUUAAAUCCUAGGUUUUUAAACUUAAUCAUUUCUCUCCUUAUCAAUAAAUAAUAAUACAAAAUUUUCAAAUUUCAAACUUCAAACUUUUAAUUAUGUUUUGAUUUUGACAUAUUCUAAUGGGAUUUGUAGAGUUUAAUAAUGGAGAUUGAUUUAGAAAAUUCUAAGAACACAAUUGUGGACGACCAUUUAGUCUUUUAUUUUGAAUUUUGAAAUUAAGUACAUAGAUAUAUACUUCGACUUAUAAGUUUAUUUUUGUCACCAAUUAUCCGACUUUUAGAAAUUAAAAAAUUGAUUUUGUUUUUUUAGGUUAAAGAUUUGGAAGAACAUUCAUAGAUUUUAAAAGCCACAUAUGGAGCUAGCUAGAAAAACACUUAAUGAUCAAAUAGUAUUUGUUACAAAAGUGGUUUUAGUUAAAGUUGUAUCUUAAAGUCACACCCUAUCCCUUCUCAUUUUAGCAUCUACACUAUUUUCUUAUUCCUCUUUAUGAAUAUUUGAAAAAACAUACUAAAAAUUUAAUAAAGAUAACCUAACUCUAUAUAAAGUAUACUAGGAAUUUCCACUGCUCCAUGAUGUUGAAUUAAGAACAAAAAAAAAAGUUAGAUUUAUUCUAACAAAAUUAUCACUUUAAUUUACGAUAAUAAAUGGUUGUUAAAUUUAUUAAAUUUUGACAAAAGAAAAUUGAAAUUCUUUAGGAAAAUUGAUCUUUUUUAUUGAUUAAUUAACUGAAACUGUCCUUUAAAUCUUUGGUAAUUUGAGUAGUAGAGCACUUACAUGAACACAUGAUUUAUGUAACCCAGCCAAUUAAAGUUGUCUCUAAUUAUCCAAACAAACAAAUAUUCACAAAAAUCUAGAGAUUGUACUUUAAAAGAAAUUAAACAAAAUGUAGAACACAAAGCCUCCUUUAGGAUUUUAGGGUUUUGAUUUUAGGGUUUAUUCUCUAUUUGUUUGGUUUCCCAAAACCUUGCCUGAAAUGGCACCAGCAACAAUGCCAGCAAAUUCAGGAUCCUUCUUUAAAGAAGAGGCCAUUUGUUGUACCAAAAACUCCUGCCAAACCGCUGCCUCGGCCGACUCCGAUGACGCGUAAUCUUUAGGACUCUUAAACAGCCCAUCUUCGUGGAUCAAAUCGAGGGUCACCGUAGCACAUGACGGCUUGAUCGUCGCUAAGACUGGGACUGCACUGCCUUUUCCGCCAUUGAUUGACCUUAAAGAAAGUUCAGUUUGGAAAUGGCUAGCAUGGCUGUGUUCUCCUUCGUAAGUUGCCACCAAAAUUGUUGGAUCUUCCAAACUUCUUUGCACCUAAAACAAACAAAUAACUUAUUCAUUUUAUUUACAUGGUAAUAGCUAAGAUUAAAUUACAAGUUCAAUUCUUAAUUAGAAGGUUAGAUUUUACUUCCUACCGUUUUAAAAUUUUUAAAUUAAGUUUUUAGAGUUUGAUAAAACCUUAUUACUACGCUAAGGUUUGAUAAAAUCGUAAAAAAUAGUCCAUAUUAUAGGAAUUAUUUACUAGUAUUUUAUCAAACAAUAGAACUGAAAUUAACUACUCAUUUCUAUGAAACUAUUGAUUUCUAAUUAUAGUUUAAGAGGAAAAGAAAGACCACAAUAGUUAUUCUUGUUUUUGUCAUUUUUUUAACAAUAAGGACAAAUUUUUUACCAAACUUAAUUCUACUUUCACAUUUUAAAAAACGAAAAAAAACAAAACCAUUAUCAAACGAGCAUGGAAUUCAAUCUCAACCGCUUUUAGGUAUUGUUUGAAAUUAAAGUUAUGGAGGGAUUACCUUCUUUUUGACAGGACAAUUUGGUGCAGAGGAGCAUUUGAAGUAAGCUCUUGGAGAAGGGUUGUCUCUUGUAACCUUUUGCCCAUACUUCCUCCAUUGAUACCCAUCUUUCACAACCUUUUUCAUUAAUAAUAUCAUUCAAUUAGGGUUUCUCAAUAUAUCAAAGCCUCAUUAAGAAAACUAAAGCUUCUGUCUCAAAAAUUAUUGUUAUUGGGAAUCUUUUCAUUAACCUCAUUAAUUAAGUUAUAAUGAUCUAUUGUUUUUUUAUUAAGGAUUCGAAGAAUACACGAUAGUUUGAACCUUUGAUUUCAAAGCAGAACACGUCAAUUACAUCUUGUUUAUGUUUACUACUUUUUUAUGUAUCUAUUAGCGUCUAAUUCUUUUUGUCAACAUCUCGACUAAUUUUAUUGGAUGUCAAGAAAACUCGUAGAAUAUUAAAUUACUACAUAUCGAUGACCAACAUCGAUUGAACUCAUAAUGAUUUCUUAGGCUUUAUAUUGGGCUGUGCCUUUUUAUAAUCACGAUCGAAUUAUUAACCUUAAUCUCUCUAUAGGAUCGAUUAUUUGAUAACACAUUCUCUAUUUCCCCCUAGGUUUUUAGAGCUUUGAAACUUGCCUAGCUAAUUCAAAUAAUAUAGAUAGGAGUAUACAUAUGUAUAUAUUGGGGAGUGGGGUUUUAAAAAUCACAUACCAAUCUCAAUCUUUAGUACAAGUCUCCUUGCCAAAUUAUUCAACAAAACAAACUACUAAAUCCAAGCUUUAAAAAGUCAACUAUUAUUUUUUCUCUUUUUUCCUUGAAAUUUGAAAAAAAAAAUUAAAAGAGAAAGCAAAACCAAGAAACCAAAACUGGAACAAUUCUUUUAUAUAUAUACCUCUCAAAAACAGAAAACGAAAAACCGAAACAUUAUUCGAUUCGAGUCGAACCUCUAAAACCUAGAUUAGGGUUUUGUUGAAAAACAUGGCAAUGGAAAAGAAAAGUUAGGGUUAGAAAAAUUACCAAGCUUGGAUCUGAUGCAUCUUUUUGCACAAAAACUUUAGAAACCUUUGAAUUUCCAUUUAAUCUUGGCCUCUUAAGCCACCUGUUAAAAUCUUCAUCUCUUGUGCUGCAAAUUCCUUCUAAAUUCUCAUAAUCUUCUUGCUCUCCUUCUGCCUUUCUCUUCCUUGAACAAACACCUUCCAUUUCUGUGCUUUGCUUUUGGUUGCUUAACAAAUACAUCACUUGUUUCUGAAGAUUAAUGUAUUUCUCAUACAUUAUUCUCAACAUUUGACUUAGCUUCCCAUUCUCUUGGAUUUUUCUAUCCAACUCCUGUUCUAAUGUCGGGCUCGAUUCGCUUCCCUGCAUUUGGAGAACUUAACCGAUGAGUGGCAAGAAUUUAUCCAUUAUACUCCCGAAGUAAGUUAUCAUGGACCCUUGAUUUUAAUCAAUUGAACUAUGUUCAAGUUGUGAGAUGAAAUUAAAAAUGAUGGUAGAGUGAUUUACUAUUUACUACGAUGAAAUUCCUUAAUUUUUCAAAAUAUAAAAUCCGAAAAUCUUAUCAAAAUACACACCUAAGUUCCAUUUUGUGGUGGUAUAAUUUCGUAGUAUAUAUUCUUGUUAGUUCAUUAGUUUUUUUUUUCUGUAAUAUAUAUAUAUAUAACACUCUCCAUUCACUUCAACCUAGAAAUAAAAACUAUAUUAUAUAUACAAUACAAUACAUUAGGGUUUAAAACCUUCAUAUAUAUAUAUAUAUAUAUAUAAAUACGGCCCACACACAUGUUAUAAUUAAGAACAAAUUAACAAAUGACUUAUGAGGUUAAUUACCUUAUUUGACAAGCUCAGUGCGAGUUUUUCUUUAUCUCCAUAGAUUUCUCCAUCAAAUUGAUCUCUUUUCUGCUUCAUAGAAACAAAAACAACAAUAUUAAUAAUAAUAAAUUAAACCAUAUCCAAAAUUCACCACGAAAAACAGAGAGAAGAAAUAGCCAAAUAAAAACUUAAACUUACUGAAGAAUGAUGAGCUACUUCAUCCAUAGUUGAAUUAGCAUAAGAAGAAUUAGGAUCCACAUUAAGGUCCAAAAAAAUAUCCAUCAUAUGAAAUUAAAUUAGUAAUUUCAGAUAUAUUUUUAAAAACUAUUAUUAUUGUUGUUGCAUGUAAAGAAGAAUUAGAAGAAAAUUUGAGGGUAUUUUUGUGAAGAAGAAGAAGAGGAAGAAGAAGAAGAAGAAGGGAAGAAGAAUUAUUUUGCAGAAAAAUGAGUGAUAAUGGGAAGAAGACUUAUAUAUAAAGAAAGAAAGAAAAGAAAAGAAAAGAAGAAGAAGAAGAAGAAGACGAAGAAGAAGAAGAAUUUGCAAAAAAGGGCCUGUGGGGUUGGGUGGGUCCCACAAUUCUGGAAGAAGUCGGUUUUGGAAUUCUUUUCUUAGUCCACCCCUUUAAUUUUCAUUAUUUACAUCACACUUCCUUUCUUUUUCUUUUCUUUUCCCUUUUUUUUUAUAAAUAAAACUUUGUUUUGUGGUAAUAUUGACUUUGAAAGUAGAGUGGAAUGGUUGACUUGAGUGUGUAAGGGUCCCACACGCUUUUGAAAAUGAAAUGACUUUUUUGCUCUCCAUUAUAUUUUUUGAAUGGAAAUUACAAAUUGUUUGAUUGCUUAUGUUUGAGUUAAAUUACGUGGAAUUGACACAAAUACUAAAUUUAAUAAAGUAUUUAUAACAUAUAUAUUGUAAAAUAUUCAGAUUUUAUCAACAAUGGUGGACACUAACAUGUUUUUAUCAAUAAUAUUGAUAGAAAUAUAAAUCAAUUUCUAUCGUAGAUAUAAUUUAAAAUUUUGUUAUAAUUUACAAAUAUUUUAAUUUCUUUUACUACUUUUAAAUAUAUUUGAAUAAUUAUUAUUUUGGUCCUUUAUUUAAUUUUAUUUGUUUUAGUGAGUGUUAACUUUGAAGGAAUGUUAUUGGAAUUGGAUAAUCCCCUAUAUUUUUUGUUUUUAAUUUUUUAGAAACGUUUUGAAAAUUUGAGAUUGAUUAUAGAAGAAACUAUUCUUUAGUGGCUUUGCUUUGUUUCUAUUUAUAUUCAUAUGUUUGUUUGAAAAAAUAAAUCAAAUUUGUUUUCUUUUAUUGUUUGUGAUUGGGUACUUAGAUUUGAGUUAUAUUUGAGCGUUCGGAGUUGAUUUUCUAAUCAAACUAAUGUCAAAUUGUGUAUGAUUAAUUUAGUAAAUAUUUAAAUUAUCACAAUUAAAUAAGUGCAAAUGAUCGGAGAUCGGUUUGACCUUUUGAAGAUUUUAAAAAAUGGAUUUUUCUAAACUAACGUCGUCCUAAUUAACCUCUCCUUACGUUCGACAUACCACUUUCAAUUCGGCCGUUUUGGUCAAUCUACUUGAGUUUUUUGAUAUAUUAUGCUCAUUUAAAAAAAAAAUUAUAAAUUUUGAAAACAUAUUUUCAUAUUUAGUAACAAGUUGCAUGUUUAUUUACAAAAGUAGGUCUUAAAACUUUCAAUUUCGUGUCCAUUGAAUCAAUGAGAUUUAGAUUUUUCAUGACAUAGGUGCUCGACCUAUUUGAUAUAUAAAAAAUAAUAAUAAACCAUUUAGACACAAAAUUGAAAUUAAUUUCAUUAUAUAAGCAAAGAACUGAAGGUAAGUUUAGCAACAAUUAACAUGGUCCUAGAGAUUUGAUCCAUCAUCUUCACAAUUAUUAUAUCCAUACAAAAAUCAUUACUAUAUAUAAUUUUCAAAUUCAUGUAUAUCAUAUACCCAUAAACCAAAUAAUUAAAAGUUGAAUCACUUAUUAGAGACCAUAGUAAAAAAAUUUAGUGUCAAGAUAUAAUCAUUACAAACAACAAAAUUAACUGCAAUAUUUUUUUCUCCAUAAUUACGAUAUGCUAUUUUUUUAUCAAUACAUUAUUGAUAUAUAUAUAUAUAUAUAUAUAUAUAUAUAUAUAUAUAUAUAUAUAUAUCAAGUACAUACAUAUGUAUAGGUUAUUAUUCUUUGUAAAAUGUUAUAUCUCAUGUGACACAUUUAUACUUUGAUUUAAACCAUAUAAACUAUUAUUCCAAAAGCCCCUAAAGUUUAAGCCUUGAAGGAAAUAGUGAGUGUAGUAUCAAUGAGGAUAUGAGGGGUAAAAUUGUAAUUUUGGAUCCACUUUAAAUCUUAAUUAAUAUUCUUAAUAACUAUACAUAUUGAAGCUGUAUCCUUUGUUGCCUUGUGGUUUGCAUUGGACCACAUAUAUUGAUGUCAUUAAUUGGUCCCUUUUUCUUUCUUUUUUCUUUCUUUCUUUUCAAAAGAUAAGUUCAUGCAAAAUAGUCUUCACUUUUUUAAACUUCAUAUAAACUAUUAUUUCAAAAGAUAAAGAAUAAUACAAUUAGAUCUGUUAAAAUAUUGAAAAUUAUAUUAGAUGAUAAAAAAUUUAGAAAAAACAGCUCAUAACACAUCUUUUUUGCAUAUUACAUAUUUGACAAAUAGGACAGUAAUCAAACGAUAAUAUAUCUACUUUUAAACUUGUUGUUUUUUGUAAUUUUGAAAAUGUAAAUGACACGUGCUCUAUUUUUGCAAACUCUCCUUAAAAUAUUAUAGACUCGAAAAAAAAUAGAACAUUUUAAAAUAACAUGGCAAAAUAAACCAAAAUAUUCAUAAAAACUAACAAACUUCCAUAUCUAUUAAUGAUUGGUACUAAUAAUAGUUAGAAUUUGAAAUUUUGUUAUAUUUUGUAAAUAUUUCAAGUUGUUUUAUAAUUAUAAUAAUUAUCUAAAAAGGUUGAAAAAUUAUACAUUCUACUAUUUCGUUAUCACUUGUUUAUAAUAGUAAUGGCGUAUUACUUAAGAAAUUAAAAGAUAUAUUUAUAUAUAUAUAUAAAAAAAAAAAAUGGUCCCUUUACUUUCUACGCAACUUUUUGUCAUGUCUAACCUUUUGUUUAUUUAUUUUUUCAAAAGAAAGGUUAGAAAAGUUAAUUCUUCUAUAGGUAAAAAGGAAUAACUUUCUACAUUGCACGAAUUUUAAUUAUGGUUUCAAAAAGGAUAAUGUAAACACAUAAAAUAUAUACAUAUAUAUAUAUAUAUAUUUGCAUGUGAGCUAACAAUAAGCUUUACUUGCUAAGUUCAAGAUCGAAGAAAUUUGAACUUUGACAUUUUUUGUUCGAAUGCUUUUCAUUUAGUUUCGUUAUAUUUAAGUUAACUUUUUUAAUCGCCUUAAAUAUAUGAUUAGCUAAUAACAAAUAUUUGUGAGUGUUAACUUAGAAAGACAAAUCAACAAAUAAAAAGUUUAGACUAUUUACCCAAUAAAGAUUGAAUUCUCUGCUCUCAAAUUUUAAACCUUUUUUAAUAAAACAAAUGAGUUUUUGAAAUAUUACGAAUACAAAUUGUGGUUGGUAGUCUUCAUAUAUUCUGUAUGUAUAUGUAAUUUCAUUAGAUAUUCAACUAAAGUACGAUAUGAUAGGAUUGAAUCAUCAACCACUAAAAUCAUAGGUUAGUAUAUUAUUUAGUAACGUAUAUGUUUAAUUUGCAGCAUAUAUUAUAUACUUUCUUAAUUUAACUUCAGUUAUAUCAUAUGGUAACAAAAGAAAAAAUUAGUAUAAUGUUAUAUAAAUUCUAACAUUUUAAAGAUAUGUUAAUAUCCUACGUUUGAAAGGUAUAAUUUCAGGAUAUUUGAAUUUUACCAAACAAUUCAACUUGUAAUUAAAAGUUGAUUAAUUCAAAUUAAGAAAACAUAAUUAAAUUAAUCACGUGAGUAUAAGGUAAUUAAUAAUGUGUUUAGUAAAUAAUAAAUAAACUUAAUUAAAUUUUGGUAAUGUGACAGAUAUGAUUCUUUUUCCACAAGACUGUUUCCUCUUAAUUACACAAAAUAGUCUUAAAGAAGAAGGGGUGAAUUUAAUUACUUAAGAAACUUUAAUAAUGUCAAAUUGAAAUAAUGCUUUUUCAUACUAUAUAAGUAUAAAUGUUUUCUAAUUAUUUUAUGUGUUCAAGCAUAUCUUAAAACUUUAUGAUAAGUUUUUUUUUUGUUAUUCUAAAAAGAAAAAUAAUAAUCGUUUCGUCUAAUAGUAACACGUUCGGGGACAAAGACAAGAAAUGUAAAGUUACUUUAGGAGGUGUGUAUAUAUUAUAAUUCAAAAUUCGUAACAUUGAUGCUAAUCUUAACCGAGAGGUUAAAAUGUUUGCAACGUCUUUACUUCUUUUAAAAGAUGGAAUAUAUUAAAACGAUCUUACAAGAUUUUCUUGACGACUAAAGUAUAGUUUGAUAACGAUUUGAUUCUUAGUUUUCCGUUUAUUCAAUAAAAUUAUGCUCGAGUCCAGUUGUCGUCGAGGUCCCUAUAUUUUUUAAUUUUUCUUUAUAUAUAUAUAUAUAUAUAUAUUAUUUAAUUUUUAUUCCCUUUCCCAAGUUUUGGAAAAAGUUUACAUGUGUAUUUGGGAGAAGAGAGUGAUAGAAUUUUGGAUUAAGGGAUUUUAAUAUAUAUGUUGUUGAUUGUACUUUUUUAAACAAAGAUUUUCUUUAUACAAAAUCAAAAGGGUUAGGUUAAACAAAAGAGUGUUUGUUAUAUGCAAUUCUUUAAAUUAAAAAGGUAUAUUUGUUAUUUUAAAUUUUAAUUAAACUCACAACUAUACAAAUAUAUAUAUAUAUAUAUAUAUAUAUUUGUUUUUUGAAGAUGUCAAGUAAUGACCGUUUUAAAGAAAAAGUGUCAAAUAUUUGGUUAAAAAAAUAGAAAUUUUACGACAUCUUUUAACUAGUUUAUGUUAGUUAUUACUUGGCGUUACAUGCAAAGGUAGUUUAACAUUUAUUUGACGCAAAAAGAAAUUUUGAGAAAAAUGUAUUUUUUUUUAUUGGAGAGUUUGCAAAAAUAGCAAAGAGGUUUAUGAUAAUAGAGUUAAUGUCACUUGCAUUUUCAAAAUUGUAAAACAACAAAUUUAAAAGUAGAUUACUGUCAGAUUAACAUCUGAUUACCGUCAUAUUUGUCAAAUUUGCAAUAUACAGAAAAUAGGUGUUAUAAGCUGUUUUUUUUCUUUUUUUUUUCUCUAAUACAAUUUUCCUUUUUAUUUGUUAAGAAUAUAAACUAAAAUAUAUUUUUUUUUUCGGCCCUAAUAUUAUUAACACGCAAAACGGAAAAAAAAAACGCAAAUAUCAAUUAACAUGAUUUAAGAUUUGUUUAUGCUAGGAGAAGAAACUAAAUAUCUUAACCAGUUGAAUUUUGCUUGAAUUGAUUUGUAUGUGAUUGACAAUUGAAAUUAAAAACCUAACUAUGUCAAUAUAAUAUUAUCUCAUUUUCACUGUAUUUUAGAGUCUAUAUACCAAAAUAACAUUGAUUCUUAUGUGUAUCUUGACUAAUCUCACAAGAUAAUCCAUCUGAUCUUACAAUAUUUUGAUGUAAAGAAAUGAAUUCGUACGAUAUAUGACUAUCAUGAAUUGAACUCACGGAUCUCUUAGUUAGUUAUUAAGAUUAUGUUUUCUUUUUUACUAUUAAGUAGGUAAAAAAAAUUGAAUUCUUGAAAAUUAAUUUAAAUCUAAAUUUAACUUGAAGCUUUAAUUAAUUCUAAAAAUAUUUUCAUAAGCAAUAAAAUAGAUAACUACACUCGUGAAAGUAAUGUGUUUGUAAAACUUCAGUUUUCAAAAGUUAAAAAACAACAAAAAACAAGAUGAUUAUUAAACGGAGUGCAAAUGUUGAGAGAUUCGAUGAUUGUCCUGUAAGAUUGAUCAAAAGUAUGAAAGCGAAUUUGUCGAUUUAGCCUUUUUCAUUUGCUAAUCAAUUGGUUAAAGUCAGUAUUCUCAACCAGAAAGUUAGAUGUUCAAAUCUUUAUUUUUGCAUAUUGUCACUCCAAAAGAAAAAAACACCAACUAUGAAUAUUAAAAAAAAAAAUUGAUUUUGACAUAGUUAAUCAACGGUAAUUAACAUGCAAAUCUAAGAUCAAACGUUUAAUCUCUCAUCCCUAAAAUUUUUUAUGAAAAUAAAUAAAAUUUUCUCAAAUAAAUUUAGGGUCAGUUACAAAUACAUUUUCUAUAACUAUUUCAUAUAGUUUCAUAAAAUUCUCGUAAAUCGUAUACAAUUAGAACAAUGUAUUCUUAUCAAACUAUAACAACGAAUGAAUUCAAAUUUAUGUAAAUUAACCAUAAAUCUUUUCGGUUUGAAAGAAAGGGUUGGAAUUUGGAAAUAACUUUUUUUUUUUUGGAGCAAAAUUUGGAAUUGGGAAAUAAAAUUCAAAUUUUCUUGAGGAGUUGGAGUUUAUAUAUACUUUAUUAUUUAUACAAAAUUAAUUUAUGCAUUCUAUUUAUAUAUAUAUAUAUAUAUUUAGUCAAACUUAGUAAGAAUGACGAUUUGAUAUUUAGUUCAUAUUCUUUUCGAUUCUAUCUUAUCGCUUUUGUUUUUUCAUUUCUUACAUUUUUAUUUUUCUUCUGAAUUAGAAUCAUAUGCUAUUGCUUUUCUCUUUUCUUUUCUUCAAAAACAAUUUGUAUUUACAUAUUAAAUAAUAAAACCUGGAUUUGAUAUUUAAUUCAUCUUUUUUUUUUCUUUUUGUUUGAUUCAAUACUUAAAUAUACACUUUAAAUAAAUAUUUUCUUAUUUAGAAAAUUGUGAUUGCAUAUAUUCUAAAUUCUAAUACUUUUGAAUUUAGUUUUAGACAACUGUGAUAAAUUCAGUUCUCCAUCUGCUUUUUCUCUUUUCUUUCUUUUCUUUUUCUUUUCUUCUUUUUCCUUUUAAUAUCUAAUCAGUUAUAUAUAAUAUUAAAUUUAUCCACACCUUUAUCAACAAAUUCAAGUUUUUUUGUUUGAUCGAUCGAUGAUUUAGAAUAGUAUCAAAGUAGGUUAUUCAUAGUCGUUCACGAAGGUCGAUCUUGUGUUUAAGUCCUGACACUCGUCUCUAAUUAAAAUUAAUUUCAACUUGUUAACUCUUUUUCUUUAUUUUUUUAAAGUGAACCCAUAGCGAUGAGUUAUAUUAACACAAAAUUGCAAUUAUCGUUGUAUCAUUUAAAUAAUAUGAUUUGGUUAAGUAAUUUGGUGAUCCAUGGGCAUUUUAUUUAAUGAAUUAAUUUCAUUUAAUAAGAAUAAAGAAAGAAAACUAGAUUUUAAAAUUAAAUUGGUUUGAUUAACUCCUCAUGAAAAUUGAAAUUUUAAAUUAGAUCUAAAUCAAACAUGGAUCGAGAAUUCUUCGGAGUCGAUAACACAUAUAUUUUAUGUGAAUUGUGUUCGUAUAGUUGUAAACUUGUAAAAAAUGUAUUUUAAAAUUUAAAAAGGAAGAUAUUGUUUUCUUAGAGAAUAAUGUUUACAUAUAUUCUAAACUCUCAAGUACUUCGGAAUGUUUUUCCCCUUUAUAGUUUAGAAAACAGUGACAAAAUUCAGUUCUCUAGAUCUACUUUUUUUUCAAAAGCUUGGCUUUGGGGCCAUCCAUGCCAUUUCAUUUUUGUUUAUUUCUUCGUAAAUAAAUAUAAUAACAAAGAGAGCUUAAGUCAACAAUAAUUGAUACUUCUUACGAGAGAUUGAAUAUAUGGCAUCUAUUCUAUUCUCGUAGUUGUAAAAAAAACAUAAGAAAAUUACCGAGCUCAAUUUGAUGCUGUGAAAAUUGCAAUUGCAAUUUAAGUAGAGGAAUUCAAGUGGAAAUUCACCACAUAGAUCACUUUUUCUUUUUUCAAAAUCCUUUAUAUAGUUAACAUGUUUUUAUCAAAAUAAAUAUAGAUAUAUGUGUAUAUAUUCACUCAUGCUAUCACGUCCUCAAUUUAAUCGGAAAAUUGCAUAUAACACCUAAUUUUUGCAUUUUGCAAAUAUAGUAAAAUUAAUGAUAUCAUACGGUAAUUAUAGAGUUAUCGACUUUUAAAUUUGUUGCUUUUGUAAUUUAGAAAAUAUAUUAACACAAAUUCUAUCCGUUUAAUAUUUACGUCUAGUAAUGUUUUCUUCCUAUGCUAAAAUUUAUCGUAACAAAAGUAUAUAUUGAUGUGGUGCAAUAAUUAUUAAAAUAAGGUUACUUAUUUUCUGCGUUAGAGGAGAGAAAAAAUUAUUGCUUUCGUAAACUUUAUUAAAUUUAUAUAUUUAAUUUUAAAACUAUUUAUCAAAUUAUAUGUUUGAACCUUUAAGUGAUUCUAAAUUAUCAUUUUUAAAAAUAACUCUUAAAUAUUUAUAUAUUUGAAAACAAACUUCACGAUAUAAAAAAUAGAUUUAAAAUGGAAAAUUAGAUAUUAAAUUGAUUUUGAUUUAGGUGUGUUUUAGAGUACUUUUAAAAAUAUGAUAAAAUCACUUUCUACCAAAUACUAAUGAUGUAAUUAAGACCAAUGAUAAAUUUACCUAAUAUUCAAAUUCAACAUUUCCCUAUCCGUUAUUCCAAGUUCCAAAUUUUCAAAUAUUUAAAUUUUUUAAAACUUUAAUUCGUUUUUUUUCAAAUUAUUAAAAUGACUUUUGUUAUUUUUAAAAUUACUCUAAAUAUAAAUAUUUUUAAUCAUUUAUCGUAUCAAAAUUGUAUUCAAAAGUAUAAAUAAUUAAAUUUUACGUGAAUAUGACGUAGAAAAAAAUGUAUAAUUAAAAUUUCAUAUGAUAUAAAAGAAUUGUAUUUAAUUAAUUUGUGAACUUUUAUACUAUAUCAAAAUUAAGUGACAAGUUUAUAACAUAUUGGUUAGCAGAAACACGAGAAACUCUAUUACAAGGAUUACGUUAAAAUUUUGUAUUCAAUUAUUUUUUUCAACAGCUUCAAUUAGAUUUAAUUGAACUUUUUAAUUAGUUAGAUUUUGGAACUUUCAAUUUUGUAUAAUAGAGCUAAAGCAUAUUUUUAAAUAAGUGUUAAAAAUUACUAUUCAAUACCUAACAUUUAUGUUUUGUACUUAAUUGAGCUUUUAAUUAUUUUUUUAUUUUUUAAAUAUGUUGAUGUUAAGUUUCAAACAAAAAAAACGGUAAAUUUGAUACUCACAUCUUAGGUUUGAUAAUAGUGGUAAAUUUGUAACCCAAAGAAGAGAAUGUGACAGACAAUGGAAAAAUAAUUUGUAUAUGGGUAUGAUACUUACCUCAUAGACCUUAUUACUUGGGUUAAAAAAUUUAUGUGUAUAACAAAUAGAGAGUUUGUAGCAUGUCGAGAUCAGUUCCUACAGGUUGCAAUGUUGAUUGAUAAAAUUGGUCUCUACCAAGGCUACUAUGGAAGAUAUUUUCUUUUGUUUCGUUUUGGGUCUAAGACAAUCCUUUAGGCAUGGGUAUGUCUCAUCGAAAUUUUGUUUUAGUUGACCUUAGUCCAUUAUCUAGGCUCGUUUUGGUCAUCGGUGUCGCUUUUGGUCCAAAUUUUGUUGCUUUUAUAGUAUGUGAUAUGCUCUUUGAUCCAAAGUCAUCAUGAAAAUACAUAAUUUGUUCAAAUAAAAGUGACAAAUAGGUUGAGCUGUUACUAUACAUGAAAGGAGAUAUAUAAAUAAGUUUGCAUUUUGGUUUAUCUUUUUAAGGCUGCUCUCCAUUUCAAACCUAGUUUUGGGCUGCUAAGCCUGAUAGUGAAAAUGGGUCGUCUCAAUUUGGGCCGACAAGGAAAUCCAAGUUACACAUUUCAAAAUUUCUUUUAUUUUAUUAAAAUUUAAAAGUGACGUAGUUGUAAAUUUAGCAAUUAAAUUCAAAUUAAUUAACUAUAUAGCAUAAUUUUAAAAAAUCUGUAAAUAUAGUAACAUUUGUUAAAUUCUAUCAAUGAUAUAAGUCUAUCACCAAUAGACUAUGUUGCAAAUAUUGGUCUAUCAUUGAUAUAUCAUAUGAAAUCUAUCAGCGAUACAAGUUUAUUAGUGAUCGUUUUGCUAUAUUUGCAACUUUUUUAAAAUGUUAUUAUAUCUUUAAUUAUUAUUGCUAAAAUAGUCAUCUAUUGCAAUUUUCUUUUAAAAUUUGUUUCUCGUAUAUUUUGAUUAUUUUUUAUCAUGUAUGAACAAAAUUGUCAUAUAUUUUGAUUGAAUUAUAAAUGAUUCAUUAAGUGCAUACUAGUUUCAUUACUGUUAUGGAUCUCUCCAUAUUAUAAUUGAUUUAUUACAUAUUACAUAUACAUAUUUACAGCAACACGUAAGUUGUGACACAUAUAGUUCUAUUAUUUUUUUUUAGGUGAAAACAUGCUUUUUGCAAUACUGUUAUUUACUGCUUACUAUUUUAAAUAUGUUAUGUAAUGUUUACCAAUAUAUACACCUGCAUAUUUAUAAUACUAUGUAUAGUGACACAUAUAGUUAUGUAAUAUUACCAAUAUACACCAGCAUAUUUUACUCGUCCGUUUCGUAAUAAACCAUAAUUUAUUCGCAUGAAAACUCUAGAUACUGAUUUUGUUCGGUUUUUUACUCACAACAAUAUAAUCGGCUCAAUCUACUGAAUAUACCUAUUGUAUUUCAUAUACGAAUAGGAACAUAAACUUUUACUUACCGAAAAUAUUCAUAAAACAUAAUCUAAAUCUUUUUUUUUUUUUUUGUCUAUAAAAAUAUAUCAAAUUCAAAUACUGGUAUUGAUUAUUGAAUCCAGCCUAGCUAUCUUAGUUUUGUAAAUUACAAAGUGAUUAUUUUCCUUUUUCUGUUGCACUAAAUUACAAAGUGCUAAUAAUUAUAUAGAAAUAUAUAUAUUUGUAUAAUUGGGAUUGUUUAAUACUUAUUGGUAAAAAUAAAACUGUUUCUUAUUAUUUACAAAUAAAAAAUAAAAAACAAAAAUAAAAGCUCGCACCAAAAAUGCAAUUUUCCCUCCGAAAGGCAAUUUAUGUUUUAAAACAAAAGGCAGUUAAAUUAAAACUUAAAACACAAAGCCAAUUUUCACCGGCUAUCGUCACCGUUUAAUCACAAAAAUUCAUCGCCGUUAAAUUGGCUGUGACGUCCGUCGGUGUUAGGGACACAAUCACCUUGCCACGUCCAAACGAUGUCCUUCAGAGCCGGCCGAACGUCUUCCUCACAAAACUUCGAAUAUUCCAGAGUAUCACCGGACGACUUUGAGAAUUCUACUAUGGCGACUUCCGGUGCUAUUUCGAACACCUCCGCCGUCACAGACAGCUUUCCUUUUCUUCCUUCCGAUGGACCCUGUAGUCGGAGCUUGAAAUCUUUCGCUUCCGAUACCUUGAAGCUUAGUUUCUUCGCCACCGUCUCGAUCUUUUCCAUGAUUGUUGAUACCGAGCAUCUCGAUGUGAACAUGGAUCCUGUCUUCCUUUUGUUCUCGAAUAAACUCGAUAGAUCGAAUCCGGACGACAUCGACGAUAUUAAUUCGAACGCAUUGAAGAAUUUUGGCGUCGAUAGUUUUGGACUUUCGAAAUCGGAAUCCUCUGUUUUCGCUGCGAUUGUUUCUUUCAUCGUGAACGAGAGGGAUCUUGAGAAAUCUCUUCGGAACCAAGGAACUCGCGUGAUUGCUCCGAUUGUGAUUCGUCUACCUGGAUCUACGACGAGGAUUUUUGAAAUCAAACGCUUCGAUUCAGCCGAGAACCACGGCGGACAUUCGAAUUCGGCUUUGAAAACCUUCUUAUACAUAGUCAUGAUGUUCUCAUCCUGAAAUGGAAGGAAUCCUGCUAACAAAACAUACAAAAUCACACCACAAGACCAGAUAUCGGCUUUUGCUCCAUCGUAUCCCUUUCUUCGUAGUACUUCCGGUGCGACGUAGGCCGGAGUACCGCACUGCGUGUGGAGAAGACCGUCGUUACGAAGCUGUUCCGGUAAAGCGGAGAGUCCAAAGUCGGAAAUCUUGAGAUCUUCGUUCUCAUCCAGCAAAAGAUUCUCCGGCUUCAAAUCGCGGUGAGAGACUCCACGACUAUGACAGUAAUCGACUGCGCUGAUUAACUGCUGGAAAUACUUCCGAGCCACGUCUUCUUUGAGUUUUCCUCUAGCGACUUUAGCAAAAAGCUCACCACCACGAACAUAAUCCAUAACGAAGAAGAUCUUCGUCUUCGUCGCCAUUACUUCCUUCAACUCAACGAUGUUCGGAUGACGAACAAGACGCAUAACGGAGAUCUCACGCUUGAUCUGCUCCAUCAUCCCUUCCUUCUUAACCUGAUCCUUAUUCAAAACCUUGAUCGCAACGCUUUCACCAGACUCCAAUUCUUUUCCAUAAUAAACCUUAGCAAAAGUCCCCUUCCCAAGCAACCUCCCAAUCUCAUAUUUACCAAACAGAACAUUCCUCUCCUCCAUUAAAGCAGAGAAUCCACAAACACACACACACACACACACACAAUUUUAGAAGCAGCGAGACCAAUUCAGAAGUUGGCUAAGAAAUUCACUUACAUUCGCGACGGAAUCCAUGAAAGCACGGCGUAGAUAGUGAUUCCAACGGAUUCCAUCCGCGAGAAUCAGAGAUAGUGAGUGAAAUUAUAAGAAUGAAAGCUGGAGAAUGGGAAAGAUAGUUGACUGAAAGAAAAGAAAAAAGAGAAGAAAGAAAAAGUUGAAAACUAGGAGCGGCCGCGAUUUCUGGCGCUUUUCAGGAGCACACGGAAAAGAUCCGUUACAAUGGGUUUUAUAUGUGGAGGUGAAGAGAAGACCCACUCAUAAACUGCUAUUCCCUUCCCACCCCCAAAUUUCUCAUUGUCCCCACACUUCCCUUUUACUCUUCUGUCUUAUUAGCUUAGGGCUAAUACGUCGUUUCCCUUUAAAAUUCACAAUCUACCAUUGGUGUCAAAAGAAAAUUUGGACAUGUUGAAAUUGAUGCACUAAAAAUCAACCUUGGUAAAUUGAGAUUUUACAGGAGAAUGUAAAUUUUUAAGUCAUGUAAUUAUUAGUUUGAGAUUUUAAUUGAUAUAAUUAUAGAUCUAAAUUAUUAUUUUUCCUACUUUAUUUUCUAUAUAUAUAGAUUUUAAUAAUGUGUGUAAAUACAAAUUAUGUUAUAACAAUAAUAAUGACCAAUAUCAUUAUUCUACGUAUGAAGAAGAAAAUUAGGCAUUUAAAAAAUAGGAAGCAUAAAAUGGAGCGGAAUUAAAGAUGGACCAAAUUGGUAGUUGAACUAAAAAUUUGAAAGGGAUUUAGUUUUUGUGUAGAUUAGUUUGAAAGAUCUGAUUUGUAGACACCUUCAAUAGUAACUUCAUUUAUCAUCUUCUUAAAAAAGGUAUGUUCAUUUAUUCUUUUUAUUAAAAGGAAAUUCCCAUUAAUAUUUUCCUUUAUUUUUCAUGUUCAAAAUUUCAAUUACGUUUUAAUUUUUUUUUUUAAAUAAUCAAUUCUCUUUUAUCUCAAAGCAUGUAUAUAACUAAAAAUGUAAUAGUUACUAAAUGGAGUGUAAUUAAAUAUUUACAUUUUAUUAAAACUAUUUACAAAAUAAGCCAAAUUAAUCUAUUUCUCUCCCGUGAAUUUAAAAAACUUAUUAUAUUUUGCAUAACAAUUUUUUUUGUUUUCUUAACGACUAAAAACACUGUUUAAAUGAAAAAGUGUCUUUGCGAAAACCGAAUCAUUUGCUGAGAUAAAUACAAACAAAACGUAGAAAAUUGAAGUAAGUGCUGGAAAAUAAAUACGUAGACAAUUAAGUUGAGUUAGAUAUCUCGCUCCUUUUAAGGAUAUUUAAGCCCAACAUAUAUUCCUACUCAAAUUAAAUUCAUAUAAAUUUAUAUUAAUAAUAUAUUGAUGUAGAAAGCUUCGUUUAAAAUUAAAACUCCGAAUUCGUAAAAGUAAAAAAAAUGUAAUAACAUUUCCAAAUAUAUAUAAUUAUACCUCCAAACUUGAAAAACCUGUCUUUAUAGAUGCAUGGUUUUUUUAACGCUCUAGGUCCAAGUCCAGGUCUAGGAUUCGAAAUUCGGUUUCUCAAUAUUCUUAUGCGAUUUAGCAACAUCAUCUUUACUUAUUAGAGUAAAAUGCAAAAGUUGAUUUUACAAACCAACACACAAAAGCCAAAUGUAUGAGGAAGUCCAAUUCAUUUUUUUAUUUAACUUAAGAAAAAAGACUAUUGUUUCAACAUGCUACGUUUCAAACUAAGCACACAUAAUUUAUGAGUUCUUACGAUCGUAUCACUGAAAAGAAAAAUGGGUCUUGUUGGUAUAGAAAUUAUCUCUUAAUUCUUUUAAGCAUUUUUUAGUCCUAUUUUUAUGUAUUUAGGAUCAUUCUCAUUCAGAUGUGAUAUCGAAACAUUCAUGUCUACCUCUUAAACUCAGAGUGUUAUAAUUUUAUCUUGGAUCUUACUAAAUCGUUAAACUUUAAAGAGUACUUCGUAUGAUUGCCAACUUGAUUUUGUGUUAAACAAAAUUUUCAACUUUUAAUUUGUUAAAUUGAAAAAUAUUUUACAAGCUUAUUCACAACCUCGAUCUUUAAAAAAUCUAUCAACUUGGGUGAGCACAAAAUUUAAUUUAUAUCUAAUAAAUAAUUUUACCAAUUUUAAAAUAUAUUGAAUAUGCCAAGAAUCUUAAAUAAAAAAUGUAUUUGAGAACGUGAUUAAAAAAAACGAACAUACCAAAAUUUUAUAUCUAUCGAUCCAAUUAUAUUAUUAAUAGACAUUAAUAAAAAUCGAUACAAACAGAUGUUUUUGAACAGUGGUGUUGUUUAAAAAACAAAGAAUGAAAAAUUAAGAAGAAAUUCAAUCAAUUUCACAAAUAGUUUAUAAAAUAAAUACAACCCAUCAAAUAUCUUAACCCACUUUGUAUUUUUUUCCAACUAAAACUUUUUUUAAUUCAUCAAUCCUCUAAGAUAUAAACUUUUUUUAAAAUUCAUUUUCUUUAGUGGGAGAGUUUGGUUUUGCUCAACCCAUGUAAUUUGGCUUCUAGCAAUGGUGUCCAACAACCAUACAUGAACCAACAUAUUUUUAUAUUACUUGACUAUGUCAAUUUAUUUGUUUUAUUUCAUCUAUUAAUUUAAUUUAAAAAAAAAAAGUGAUUGAUGGUACUUAUAGAAUUUUCAAUCAAACCAAAUCUAAAAAAAAACGUAGAAGUUAUCUGAAAUCUUUGAGAAUUCAUUCGUUGCCACAAUAGAGAUGCUAAUGAUGAUUUUUAAUUUUUUUUUAUACUAUAUAUCGGAUUUAUAAAUAACUUUAUAUUUUACUUUUAUUUCAUUAGUUUAUUUGGUUCGAGAUUAAAAGGAAAACUAGAAGACAAGUUUAUUGAUGUAUUUUUAUUGUUAUUGUUUUACGAUAAGAUUUUGAAAUUAUAUUUUAAAAAGUGAAAAAAAAAAAAAAAAACUAUGAAUGAACAACUUUAUAUUUAAAAAUUGAAAAUUGUAUAAUUGAAUGUUUGUUAAUGGACUUUCUUUUAUUUUCUAUAUUUAAUAUUGAGAUGUUCCCUAGCUGCCAUUUAUUUUUCGGAAGUAUAUUAUUAAUCAAUAAUAAAUAGGAUAAUUUUAAAAAUUGAUAAAUAAUAAAUUAUUAAACAAGUAAUUAUCAAGAUUUCUUCAUUUGAUUUACAAAAAUAUUAAAACUAAAGUUUUGCUUAAUUUGUUACAAAAAUAUAUUUGUAUGUUGCAAGUUGUCAAUUUGUAUGCAAUUAACUACUAAUCAACACAUCUUACUUUCAAUUAAGAAAAAUUGUAUCUUUACCUAUAAAAAAAAGCAUAAUUUGAAAUUAUUUAUUAUAUUAAUUUAAUUUUUUCGUAAAACAAAAUAUUUGAAUAUAUAAAAUAAAAUGAAAAUACCUAUUAAAUGUAAAUAUAAAAACAGAAAACGUGAAACGAAAACAUUAUUAAUUUAAAAUAUAAAGUUGAAAUUGAAAACAUUAUUAAUUUAAAAUAUAAAAUCGAAAUUAAAAUCAAUUAUAGAAAAAUAAUAGGAAACAUUUUUAAAAAUAGAAAAAUAACUUAAAACAUUUUCAAGCCAAAAUUAUAGAUUACUUUAAUUAUUGUCAUAUCAGUGACUAUUAAUGUAUAUUAUUGAUAUAAUUUGUAAAUUUUGUUGUAUGUGAUAAAUAUUUGGUCAGAUUUACUAUUUUUUACAAUUUUUCGAAUAAAAAUAUAUACAUUUAAAUUAGGAUUGAAAAUAGAUUGAAUUGGAUUGACUUGACACAGAUUUUGGACAAACCUAAAUUUUUGAGUUAGUUUGGAUUGACAACAUGAAUUAUUUCGAGAAGCAUUUCCAACCCAACUCUCAUAUUUUCACGGCUGAACUGAAUUGAGUUAGAUUUAAUUGUAUAUAUUUAUUUUUUUCAUUCAUAAUAUUUGUUAGAUUUCAAAAACAUUACAGCAUCAUAUUCAUAGAUGUGCACAUGAAGUUUAAAACAUCACUAAAUCAAACUUUUAAAAAAUAAAAAAAUAUUCUAAAUUGUAUAUAAUAUAAUUAUUUUGGGAUGGGUUUGAUUAAAUGAAAAUUUUCAAACCCCAAUUCGAGACGAAGUUAAAAAAUAUAAAGAAAAAAAAGCCAAUCCAAUACAAAUUUGAAAGUAAAAAAUUCCAAUUUAUUUAAACUUAUUAAGAGAGGAAUAAAUGCUUUAAAGUUUUGUUUGUUAGUUUUAUUUAUUUAUUCCUUUCCUUUCACUUAACCUAAUAUAGUGGAUGUGGAGCCCACUCGUUGAAGAAUAUUAUUGCGUGGAAGUCAAUCAUUGGCUAUAAAACAAACGGCGGUGAUGGCGAUCGGAGCCGGGGGAUUUCACGACGGUGAUUACUUACAAUUGAUUAAUUAUUAUAUAUAACUAAACGCGUUUUUUCUUUCCCAAAUAUCAUUAAGCAUUUUGAUUUUGACUCUUUUCUUCCAAAAUUUUAUUAUUAAUUUGAAGAAAUAUAUAAAUUGAUACCUUUUGGUAAUUCACAAUUUAACAAAACUUAGGUUUUGUAUAAUAAAUUGUUGCAAAAAAUAGUGUAUAUUAUAUAUUGUGGAGUUAAGUUUAAUAACCUCUUUUCGUUUUUAAAAAUUUUGAUUUUUCUUUCCAUGUACAUGUAUGCAUGAAUUAGGAGGGUUCAAAAUGAAGUUGAAAACCAAACCGAAACUGAAUGCAUACUGUUCGGUUCGGUUUCUAUUUAAAAAAAACCGCAAAAAAUUCGAUUCAAUUCGGUUUAAGACGUUAAGAACCGAUUCUCAAACCGAACCGAAUUGCUUUAUUUAAAUAUUUAUAUAUAGAUAUAUAAAUAAUAUGUUAAUAAUAAUUUUUUUUUUAGACUUCAAAGCGGAUAUAGAGGCAAAAAUCAAUGAGAGGAACAAGAAGGAGAAAAAUAACAUAAUCAAAAUGUAAAUGACAAAUUGUCUUAACGAAGUUUGUAUGACUGUAGAAUUUUUAUUCAUCUAAGGUGGAUUUUGAAACUUCUAUGUUUUGAUGGACUUUUAAAUUUCAAUGUUUAAAACAUUUAUUUAUGUCUGUAAUUUUGAAAUAUAUAUAUUUGUAACUUUGUAUAAGUGGUUCGAUUUUGAUUCGAUUUUAUUUAUGCAUAUAUGAUUCAGUUUUCAUUUUGUUUGACACAGAUGAACGGUUCGGUUCGAUUUCAAAUAAGAUUUUUUUUUCAUUUUGUAGUUCGGUGCGAUUUUAACUUCAAACCGAACUGCAAACACCCCUAGUAUGAAUGCAUAGACUUCUAAACUUGACAUUUUACAUUUAAUAGAACCCUAAUGUAGCUGAAAACGAGAGAGAAGUAGGAAAAUCGUAUGUAUAUUACUCUUAUUAUAAUUGAGUAUACUUAGUAUUGAAUUUUAAAAUCUAGUUCAUUGCAUAAAAAAUGAGUGUUUAUUAUAUUAAUUUUAUGAUUUAGAUUUUAUUCGUUGAAUUAUGUUUGAAUUGACGACUACACUCACUACUAUAUAUAUAUAUCAAAAAUAACAAUCAAUUGAUUAGUUUCUUUAUGUAUUUUUUAUUAAGAAAAAAACGGUUUCAUUACAUUUCUAGUACUUCUCUUUUUGGUGUAUUUUCCUAUUUUAUCAAAGGAAGGAGCCUUGUAGUGUUGUGUAACGAGGCAUAUUUGGGAUAUGAUAUAAAUAAAUAAAUCGGAAUCCACAGGACCCGAUCACUUUUUUUAAAUUUCAAAUAUCAAAAUGAACUCAAAUGAAAUCACAAAGGUUGAAAUAAAUAUGAAAUAAAGGCUAAAAAGGGAUAAAUAAUAGAAUUAAUAUAUUGAAAAAAUAAAGGUGCCGUAGGAGUAUUUAAAUAAAAAUACAAAUAUAAUUGUUUUGUUUCAAUGAUAAGCCAUCAUGCCCAAUUUUGAUUUCGGUUUCCUUUAUGAAAAAAAGAUAAAAUUAAAAAUCUUAUCGUGAGGAAUCUCUGCCUCUUUAGUGGAAGACAGCUCCAACAAUUAUAUAAAUAUAUAGUUGCUUUUAAAUAUAAUUUUAAGGAAUUAAAAUUUUUACAAAAUAUCUAUUCAUCGUCGUAUUUGUUAUGAAAAAAAGUUUAUAUACGAUAGAUUUUGAAAUUUUGUUAUAUUUAUAAAUAUUUUUAUCUUGAUAUUUAAAGUUUAUGGUGUUAUAUUUACAAAUAUUUUAAUGUGUGCGAGUGUGUUUUUUUGUGUUUUGAACGUAUAUUACUUUAGUUUGAGUUAUAAUAGUAUAUGGUUGAUGUGUAGAUUAUUUUAUCUUGUAAAUGAUAAAAAAACAAUAGCAAAUUGAGAGUUUUGAAAUAGUGUUUACCGUAGUUAAUUGGUAAAUUUUAAAUAGUAUUUAACUGUAGCAAUAGGUGAUUAUUUUAGUACUAGAUAGUAUUUGACCCAAACGGUCUCUAGUAUUGCUAUGUCGAUGAAACUUUAAUUAAUUUAAAUAAAUUAUGAAUACAAACCUUUAGUUAAUUAUAAUAUUACAAGGUGAUAUGUUAGUCAAGCAAAAGUGAUAGAGGUGUCUUGAUUGAAAUGCAACGCUACGUAGAUAUAGUAAAAAAAUAUUAGAUGUCAAUUUUGAGCGUGAAGUAUCAUCAUAUAUUGAGUUAAAUUAUUGUUGUACCAUCAAUCGUUGAGAUGUUAAUUGGUACUUUUAUCCACCGAUAUCUUUGAACUGACCAAUCGAUCAAUUCAAAAAAAUUAAAAAUGAAGAUUAUGUAAGGUUUAAAAAAACGGACAUCACGUUGCAUGGAUUAAAACUAAAUACAUCAUAGCUAUGAUAUUGUGGAAUAUUAUAAGUUGACACAUAAUAUCGUUACUUUCAGUCUUUUAUUAUAAACAAAUUAUGAUUUCAAAUGGAAUAUUAGUUAAAAGUAAGGAAAAUUGAAUAUUAAAGUAAUGGAGGUGUGUAUUUAUUUUCUUAAAAUCAAAGGUUUAAAUGUUCAAAUUUCUACCAAUGAUUAUACUAAACAAUAAAAUAAAGUUAGUUGAGUCGGCCUACGACUAGUUAAAGCUAAGUUGUUUACCUAAUUGCAUUGAUCAUAUUUAUAAAUCCCAAAAACUUUUCUAUCAUCGCUUUGGGAGUUAGGUAGAUUCACCGUUUUGCACAUAUAUACAAAUUUCCCUAACACGUGUAAAAUAUUAAUUUGGACUCAUCAAACAUAUAUCAAUAAAAACUUUCCUAAAAUAUAGAAAUAUAUGAACAAUAAUAAUAGUAUGGUCAACAGUACAUUUUUAAUUUUAGUUUAUUUUGAUUUUGGUUUAUUUCACUUAUUAAAUCUACGGAAAUUAUAGAAUAACCUCAAACGUACACAUGACCAAAGUAGUAUUUAAACCUUAUUGUUAUUAUUAGGUUAAAAUACAAUUUUAGUCCCUAGACUUUGAAAUUUUAUUCAAUUUUGGUCUAUAUACUUUCAAUUGUCCAAUUUUAACCCGUGCUUUCAAUAGAUACUAAACUUAAGGUGUGUUUAAAAUACAUUAUCAAAUGUUUAAUUAAAAAAAAAAUAGAGUUUUUCACAACUAUUCAAGAUAACAUUUUGGAGUAUAUUUUAAAUAAACUUGUAUAUAAGAAGUUUAAAUAAAAAUGAGUUUUUUGAAAAAACACUCUUUUCUUAAAUCAAUUCGUUCAAAGUUACCUUUUACCAACAAUAGUUAUACAAUAAUAAUAAUAAUUAAUUUUCAUGCAAUAAAAUGUGAUAUAUGAAUAUAUAUUCAAAACACACCGUAAAAGUGUCAUAGAUAAAAUUUAAACAAAUCGAACCAAAAGGAUAUUUUAAGCUAACUAUCAUCAUUAUUAUUUUUGAAAUAGAAAGUCACUUAAUUUGAUAUGAUAUGAUUAGGAGUUCUCAAAAUGCUUCCAACCCAACUACUUAAUUAACCACACCAAGAUAAUUAAUUAAGAAAAAUGAUGAUUAAAUUAGUUUAAAAAUCAUAUUUCGAAACUCAAUAAUUAGGGGUUUUAAGUUGAUUAAAAUAUGGUCCCAUAAAAAAAAAAAAAUCCUUCUUGAUUGGCCAUAAGAACAUAGCCACGCAACCUAUAAAUGGCAAAUGCAUAUAUAAAAUUGACCUUCUCCCCAAUACUUUCGCACCACACCCUCUUUUUUCCCUUUCUAAUGGUGGCUCUAAAAGCUUCCAUUUGUUCUAUGCCACGUAGCACAACUCUAAUCCCACUUUUUCUAAAAAAAUACUUUUUUAAUAAAAAAUUAUUGUAAUUCUACCCCUAACAAGUUAUGAUUUGACGUUUAAGUUUAAAAUGAUAAGUUUUCUAAAUUCCUAUCACUAAAUUCCCGUGACAGAAAUUCUAACUUUUUUAUAGAUAAUUUGUAGACAUUGAAUUGAUUUAUACUCAUUUAUUGCAAAUUAUGAUUAUUUUUACUCCAUUUUAUUUAAAUCAAUUCAAAAUAACAUAAAUAAAAGUAUUAUUUUCAAAAACUAUACUGUAUUAGCAUAAUUAUAUAUAUAUAGAAAUUGCAUCAAAUGACAAAAAUAUUUAAAAAAUAACAGCUCACGACACUUAUUUUUUUACAUAUUGCGAAUAUGAAAAAAAUUAGUGAUAUUAGAUGAUAAUCAUAAGGCUAUCCUAUGGUUACCACACUGUUAUCAAUUUUUAAAUUUGCUAUUUUGCAAUUUUUAACCUUCAUAGGUCCUAUUAUCAUGAUUUUUUUUUGUUAUUUUUGCAAGAGUCUCUUAAAUAUACUUAAUAUUAAAAUUUUAAAUCUAGUUUAAUAAUAAUAAAGAAAGUUUAUUGCAGCAAUUUUAUGAUUAUAAUAAAUUGAUUACUUUCUAAGUAUAAGUUCAUCACGCUAAUUAAAGAAAAAAAAGGGUUUCAUUAAAUUUCUAGUACUUCUCUUUUUUAUACACAUUCAUUGAGAUUACGUUAAUAAAGAUCAUUAGUUUCCUAAAUACACACUCUAAUCAAUCAUUUAUUGUGAAUUAUGACUAUUUUCACUCAAAUUUAUAUAAAUAACCUAAAUAAAAAUACUCUUUUUCCAAAAUUAUACCAUAUUAGCAAAAUGCUACCAAAACAUGCUUUCUUAAUAUGAAUAAUUAGAGAAAAAGCUAGAGAAAAAAAAAAUGAAAAAUUGCUAGUAUCGAAAAUAUAAGUUAGAAGAAAUGAAGAUUUAAAUUUAUAAUGCAUCGAUUUUGUGAUUAUUAACAAAAUUCGUAUCCGAUAAACUUAUAUUUAAUUUGUAUAUAAGAGUGGUGAAGCACGUAUGUGUGUGGCUCCACAAACACCAUGGAAUGACUACAUGAGAGAGUAUUGUUAUUAUUUUAUUUAUUUUUUGGCAAGCUAUUGUUUAAAUUUUGUUCUCUCCUUGAAAUAUAAAAUAAUUAUGUUAAUUAUUUAUAAAUUUAGUCCAUUUGAAAAAUGUUGUUACGUUUUAAAUAUAUAUAGUUUGUAUAUUUUGGUAUAAAAAAAUUAUAAAUAGUUGUAUUAUAAACUUUUUUAGUACAACUUGGAGUAACGAGAUUUGAAUAGAAUAUAUCUUGGUUUCUACACAUAUCAACUGGGUCAAACUAUUGUUGGCCAUAAAGAAAUAUGAUUAUCAUUUGGAAAACCAUCGUAUACGAAGACGAUGAUUUUGUUUAUUAGCGUUAUCUAUUAUGCUUUUUUGUUUCGUUCUCGUUCUUUGGGCUUUGUUGGAUGAUCUAACUAGGUUGUUUUGAUAUUCUUUUUGUUUUCGUUUGUUUUUUGUUGUGUUUGCUGUUGCUUGGUACUUUGACCCCGAUACGUAAGAUCAGUUGUAUUUGUUUAAUAUAUGUGUUUUUCCAUUUUAUUUUUGUUAUAUAGUGAAACGUGUGAACGUGGCAUCCAAUUAAAAUUUUAUUGGCUAAGUUUGUUGUUUCUUCAUGGACAAAGUUAUUAGUGACUUGAGUGCCACAUCACCGUCACCACUGCCAAUAAUUCAUCUUUAAGCUUUACAAUAUGACAAUCUUUUUCAAUUGCUUUCACUCCAUAUAACACCCCAUGUUGCUCCCUGGAGAUUUUGUUUGAUAUACAUUGCUUGUCGAUCCUAAAGUUGUAAGUAAUGUUAACUUUCAUAUUUGAUUAGAGGAGAAUUUAGGUUUCACGAGAGUAAGACGUACGGUCUCUCUCGAGUUUAUAUAUUGAACGGGUGUUUGUUGCAUUUUUGUUUUGUUUUUGUCUUGUUUUGUUUAUGUUUCUUGCUUGUACUCAAUAAAUGAAAAACAGAUAACGUAGGAGAACUUUUUGCUUAAGAUUUGAGAACUUCUAAAUUCGUGUCAUUCAAGUCUCGAUGUUGAAUUUAAGUCAUCGGCCCACUUUUUUAAGUACCUAACUAGAAGGGUACUUUUUGUAAAUCAACAAUUUAGGUGUAGUUUGGUAACGAUGUGAUUGCUUAGUUAUAAAUGAAGCCUACAUACAUAUAGUUCACCUCUAGAUUUAUUUGAUUUGUUGUUACUAUCUAUCGAUAUAUUUUCGUGUUUUUUUAAAAAAGAAACUCGAUUAAGUUUGUUUGUCUUUUUUAAAAAAAUGGUUACUCUUUUCAAAUUUAGCUAAGAUUUCAUUUUGUUUACUUAAGAAAUAUUUUUAAUUAAAAAUAACAAAUAAAAGCUAAAUAAUUAUCAAAAUGCGAUCUUACCUUAGGUGUCACUUUUAGGGCUACUACUUAGAUGUUAACUGUGUUUUCAUUUAACGAUAAAUAUAGCAAAAGUAUCGUGAUAGUCAUAUUCAAGACUAAAUCUAAACUAUUUAAUAUAUUUGUAUAUCUUAAUAUAUUUAUACUUUGCUAUAUGUCCAAAGUGAAAAAAUGUUAUUAAAGGCGUUUUAGGGCUUAUUGGGCCCAAAUAAAAUCAAACACGUGACAUCGGCCGGAAUAAAUGGGCCACUCACGAGAUAAGUUCAUUGGGCUUCAAGCCCAAUAUUGAUAGAUCUGAAUGGAUAUUUGGAGGCCCAUUAAUCAAACACCUGGCCCAGGGACAGUCCAGUUACAGUUCCGUUCUCUUACCCGUGUUGAUCUGAGAGUGAGAGAGAGGGAGAGAAAGUUCGAGCCGUGGAAAAGUGCGGGAAGGGGGAAAAGUGAGGGAAAACUCGCAGUUUUGUGGAGCAGGAGGGUGAAUUGCAGAAGGGUUGUAAAAUGGACGAAGAACUGAUUGCGAAUUUUGUGUCAGCAUACUUGAAGAAGAAGGGUUUCAAGGAAACGGAACAAGCUUUUCAGGAAGAGCUACGUCAGAACAAGACUAAUUCUUCUUCUCCGUCUUCUUUCAUUGACGUCGACGUUGCUAAGCACUUACUCUCCUUCUCCGAGUACUUUCUUUACCCUUUUAAUUCAUAUCGAUUCCCAAAUUUCAUUUGCAUUCAGUUAUUAUUGGUUGAUUUGAACUUCUGAAUCAGUUGAGAAAUGAAAAGAGUUCAAAUAUUUUGUAAAUUAGAAAUUCAGCAAGUGGGUUUGUUGUAGGAUGACUUUUUUUAUAGUGCUUUUGAGUACGACGGCUAGAUUUGUACCCUAGCUAAUGUAAAUCCCUUGAAAGCUGCAUAGUUGAAAAUACUGGUCAUAUACUGUGGUAGUGUAUUCUCAUGAAAUUUACUUUUCCGGAGGAUUAGGUGCUUACUAGAAACCAUUUCAUACAAGCAAAUUGCAAGAGGGUUAUUGUUACGUAGCAUUAGAGAGACUCCAUGGUGGAGCUCGGAAUUUAGCAUGUGUUCUAAUCAUUUACCAGUUUCUACUGCUUACAUUGAGGUUCCUUUAGUUUCUUUCUUGCCAAACAUUCCUGUAAGUACACAAUAGUUAAGCAAUAUAGCGGCGGUUAGGUUGAAACAAGAGAACCACCCGCAACUCAAGAAUUAUGCCAAAAAAUGUUUCAUCCCUUUACCAAUCUUUCUCUGCCCACGUUUGCCUACAAGGUCAAUGGUACAACUUUGAAGAGCCAAAAUGGGUUUCUUCACUCAAAUAGUGCCGACUGCUCAGUGUCCCUACAGUAAUAUUUAGCCAUCAUAAUUUUGUGCCAUAAAGCAUCGGCUAUGAAAAAAUUGCAAAAUCCAUUUUGCUAAGAGCACUGAAUUUCAAAGCAGAAAUUUCCUAUCCCAAGGCCUCGCAAGAGGUGGGUUAAUUUAUUAUUCACCCAAUCGAGAUUAUGCACACCAACAUCUCCUUUUGUAUCUUCAACAAAAAAAAAAAAAAAAAUCCACAAAUGAUUUUAUCAAAGGAUUUGGCCACCUUUGAUAGAAAGUGAGAUAAUGUUAUUAUAUCUCGUGCUUUCUUUUGGGUACCAUGUAAAGAAAGAAACCGAAGUAUCUUCACAGAAAGAGCAUUUUUUUCAAAAUGUUCUUUGAUUUUGUCAUUUGUUAUGCUAUUCUAGGUCUAAUCUUUUUUGCUUCAUAUUAGUACUCUCCUCAUUAAAAACCAUCAUGGGUUGGCCUGGUAAAAAGGUCAAUAACUAAUUAAAAGGUCAUGAGUUCAAUUCAUGUUGGCCACCUACCUAGGAGUUAAUUUCCUACUGGUUUCCUUGACAGCCAAAUGUUGUAUGGUCAACGGGUUGUUCUGUGAGAUCAGUGAGGUGCGCGUAAGCUGACCCGAAAACUCAGGAAAAAAAAAACUCUCCUUAUUAAAACAAUUUGAUUAGCUUAUUCUUAUUGAAAUUCCAUGGAUUGUAUGUCAAUUUUGUGAAUUUCAUAUAUCUAUGAAAUAGUUUCUUAUAACCCCCCUCCCCCCCCCCCCCCCAAAAAAAAAAAAGAGAGAAUGCAAGCAUACUGGAAAAAAGGUAGCUUGUAUAAGAGUAUGUAUAUCUAGAAAGUUUCUCUGUGUUCUCGCUUGAUUGGGUUUGGGAGGAGAGUGACAAUGUCCUAUUUAACAUCUUUAUUUAUAUAUUUUUUUAAAAGUUAUCAUCAUCAUCAUCAUUAUUUUAAUGUAUUGUAUACUGAGCGGUAGUCUUUAUAGAGGUUUUCUUUGCUCUUUAAUGUUUCUUUUCCCAGAGCAGAGAAUAUUCCAGCUAAAUACCUUGAAGGAUAUAGCAAGCUUAGGUCGUGGGCUUAUAACUCACUAGAUUUGUACAAGGCAAGUAGUUGUCUAAUUUCUUACUGGAAAUUAUGAUUCAUUUUACUUUGCUUUUCCUAUAACAAGAACUUUAAUUCUUUCAUUUUCAGCAUGAGUUGCUUCGUGUGCUAUACCCUGUGUUUAUACAUUGUUUCAUGGAUCUUGUGGCUAAAGGACAUAUUCAAGAAGGUUUGAAAAAUAACGUGUCAUUUGAAAGUCUCACGUAAUGGGGGUAAAUAUAAUUACAUUCAUAUUAUUUUGCUUGAUAUCUGCCAGCUCGAACCUUUUUCAAUAGGUUCCGUGAAGACCAUGAAAUGAUGCACCUACGAGAUAUACAAAAGUUGGAAGGUGUACUAUCUCCCUCUCAUUUGGAGGUUUGUUGUUAACCAGUAAUGACUUUCUUAUGUUCUUGUCAUUGUUUAGAGAAGAUGGUACUGGUUUUUACAUUACAAUGAUAAUAUAUUAUAGGAGAUGGAAUUUGCUCAUUCUCUUAGGCAGGGAAAAGUCAACAUAAAAAUAUGCCAGGUAACUCUUUGGUUAUCAGUGGUCUGUAGUAGCAUGUUGUCAUCUUCAUGAUUAACAUGCAUUUGCACGAGUUGUUUAUAGGUUAUUUUCGAUCUCUUGUGAACAGAACUGAACUAAUCAAACUAUAGUUUCUGAAAGGUUUUAUUUUUCCAAUAAUGUUGUUUAGUACUCCUAUGAGAUGCUACUGCAAUAUCUUCAUAAGACCCAAACCACAGUGAUACUUGGGAUUAUCAAUGAACGCAUCAACUUCCAAGGUCUUUUACCUUUUCACACUUGCUUCACAUCAUUGUCCAUUGUUUAUGCAAGUUCUAAGUCUUUUUACCUUCUGACUCUAUCGCAUACUUUGUAUGGUUUUACAGUUUUCCCUGGUCAGCCUAGCUCAAUAUCUGAUGAUGCGGAACUUGUGACACUCACGGGAAGCACCCAGGACACUGCUAAUCAGAUAAAUAAAAAAGAAGUUCAUUGGGGGGUGCGUUGGCAAAAAUACCAACUUACUUAGCCUAUACGUCCUGAUUUUCAGGAUGAUUAUUAUUUUUCUUGCUUGUUGCCUUUUAUUUAUUUAUGUUUAUCAUUAUCAUUAUAUCCAUUAUUAUUUUUUUGACAAGCUAUGACAUGUCUGCUUUUUUUUUCCGAUUUGAAAUGUAGAUAGAUACUCUUCAAUUUUCUCUAAAAGAAGAAAAAAUUAUGUCAAUAUGUAAAUAAUGGCAACAUUCUGUUUGUGCUGUUUUUCUCUCUUCUUCCUUUCUUUCAUUUGAAUUCUUGCUGAUUUGACAUCCUCUUCAAUUUCAAAUUCCAUGAUUGUUAUAUUUAAAUUUAUGCUGGCUGUAGUUACUUGAAGAUUCUUUAGAAGAACGCUUGGAGAAAGCUGCUGGUUUGCUUUCAGAUUCUGAAAAAGCUGAGGGAGAAACCAAGGAUGGUGAUGUAGAUGAGAAUAAGGUACCUGAAGUGACCCUGUGUUUGUUAUCUUUGAUUGACAUACUCUAUUUUAUCUAUAGUUAUCAUUAAAUUGUUGCUAUUUUAUAGAUAUGUCCUAUCUCAUGAGUUACAUGUCCUCAUCUUUCUUGUUUAGAAAAGAACAGCUGAGGGAGGAAAGCAAGGCGGUUCAAUUAAAAAAGUCAAGAAGGACAAGACUGCCAGUGCAACUGGGAAAACUCUGAGGGCUGAAGCUAAUUCAGCAUCUAUGGCACCACGAGUGAAGCCAGAGCUUGCUUUACCCAUAAUGUAUUUCCUUCAAUCCUGUAUUAUAUUAUUUUGCUGCUACAGUUAUGUAACACUGCUCCUCGAAUGGGUUAGUGGAUGCAAUCAUCCAGGAAAAUGAUGAACUAAAUAUUAUCUCUUUCUAUGCCAGCUUUUAUCAGAUGUUAUGGGAUUAGUUCAUGAUCUUUUUUUGGAUACCGCAUCAUAUUAAGACCGAGUUGAACUUAGUUGUUGCCUAGGAUGAAGCAUUUAUACUCAUUAAAAAAAAAGAAAAAAGAGGAAAGAUGUAGUUACAGUAUUUAAACAAAAAAUUAAUGAAAAUGAGUAAACAGUAGCAGUAUUAGUUCUUCUUGCUGUUGAUUUGUCAUGUUGAUUGCUUUCAGAUCAACAGAGGUGGAAGAAUCUAUUCUUGAGGAUUUGAGGAACCGUGUGCAGUUGAGUUCUGUAGCUCUGCCAUCAGUCAGCUUUUAUACCUUCAUUAAUACACACAACGGGUAUCGAUCAAGUUUUCUUUCUGUUUCUGUUAGCAGUUUCAGUUUCUUCAGUCUUUAUGUGCUUGCAGUUGAUAUCAUUGAUUCUGAUGUAGUUUAAACUGUUCAUCAAUAUCGUAUGAUGGAGCUUUAGUUGCCGGUGGAUUCUCAGACUCUUCUUUGAAGGUAAGUCUUCUCUUUAAGUAACUUUGGAUGGCCUUAUUAUUGUUUGCUAAGCUAAAAAAUCUUGGUGGGUUUUUCUGCAGGUUUGGGACAUGGCAAAGCUAGGACAACAAGCUGGCAAUAGUAAGUCUGUUAAAUAUGUUGCGCUGGCAUGGGAUUUUUUAUUUUUUAUUUUUUUUGUUACUGGCCUUCAAUUUGUAAUAUAGUAUUGUUAAUAAAUUAUGCUGUUAAGAAAAAUUAUAUAUUAAAACAUUUUCAUGUAUAUUAGUGCUCAUUUCUAUAUCCAUCUAAUACAAUAAUAGCCAGGGUUUCUGGAAUAUAAAUUCAUGCUUGCUUGCCUUUUUAUUAAGUGAAUAUAAAAUCAUGCUCAAAUGUCAGGUAAAUGCAUAGAUAUCGUCAAUUUAACAUAUUGUUAUUUAUAAUUCGUGUGUACUCUUUAUGUAAAGCCUUAAAGGAAUACCAGUAGAGAUUCUGGUUUUGAAAACAUGAUAAACUGAAGUUGUAUAAAAUUUUGUAGUGCUUCUGAUUUUCCCUCUUCCCGCUUCCUUUAUUCUUGAAGAUUUUCUUAUCUCCUACUUCUGGAGAGUUAAUUCAUCAAUUCCGUGCACCAGCUUUGAGUUUAAAUCACCUUCACUACCAGUUAAAAAAGCUUGCUUCCUCUUGCUUGUUUUAUUUUUCUUUCUUACUCAGGUAUUUUAUGAAGGGAAUUGACCUUCAUUAUCACGUCUAUCAGCUGUUUUGCAGGAUGAAAACGAUAUGUCUACUAGUGAUCCAGUGACAGGGCAUACGAGUGGGAAGAGGCCUUAUACAUUAUUUCAAGGUCAUUCUGGGCCUGUUCACUCUGCAACUUUCAGUCCCAUAGGGGACUUCGUUCUUUCAUCCUCUGCAGACACAACUAGUAGGAUCGAACUGGCCCUUCCCUUUUCUUUUUAGCUUGGUUAUAUUCUUUCUUGAGAUCAUGAAUAUUUCUGUUAUCCUUAUCCUGGUACAGUUCGAUUGUGGAGCACAAAACUAAAUGCCAAUCUUGUUUGCUACAAAGGUCACAAUUACCCAGUAUGGGAUGUUCAGGUAAAUAUUUUAUCAGAUCUCUAUGGCUGCGGUGUUUUUUGUUUUCUUGAAAAUAUUUUAUUAGAUCUCUAUGUUCUGGGCGUUAGUUAAUUGGUACUUAGGUUACUUGUAUUGGUUAGAAUUUGUUAAAGUGCCAACUGUGGAGUGAGGAGUGUGUGAAAGUGUUAAAAUUAGAGGGGAGCAAACGUCAUUUUCUAGUGCUCUUUCACUAUUUGGUGCCACCACUGUUGCUCUACACUCACUUCGUUGUGCAACAAAAUUUGUUGUGCAUUAUACAGCAGACGCAAUGUGAGAUAUUGUUCAUGAUCCUACUCAAACUUGUAAUUAUUUAAUCCUGACCAUCUUUUGAUGUAGAAUAUCUCAAGUGGUUAGUUCAUGAGCUGGAACAAAGUAACUUUGCCCUUAGAGAGGAAAAGGAAUUAAGCAAUUUAAAGAGGUGAAAUCAUGAGGAUUGGAUAAAAUCUACUAAUUAAAGGGUCUUGUAGAUAAUACAGUGCCAGGGGUCUCCAACCUCACUACCCCCUUCCCUCUGGAAAAAACAGUAGAAGAAGGUAUGCCUAUCAACAAUAUGUCUAGCGUUCUUGUGUUUGAGCUCGUGUCCUAUAACAAUGCUUCGACAAAUACCCACAACUUUCAAUUAUACCUGAAUUUCAACUUUCUUUUCUUGGUAUUUAAAGGAAAAAACCAAAGCACUAGGUGAAAACUUCACAAGGCAAGAAAUAUAGAUGUAGGCAAGACAAUAUGGCGUAUAAUUUUUCUAGAUGAUUAUGGCAUGGACAUAGCAAGGUUAUGCUCAAUAUAUAUAUGUGUUGAAGGGAGAUGAAGAGGCUGAUUAUAGUGGUUAGAUAUUGUGUUCUUGAAUGCAAUUACUUUGCUUGGGCUAGUACCUAGUUUGUUAUUGGGGCAAACACUACAUCUAAAAGAAUCUUUUCUUGUUACCUAUUCCGUCAUACGUUGACUUGUUCCUGUAUUUCUAAUGUUUUCCAAUUCUUGUUUCUUAAUUUCUUACAGGUUGCUCACUCUCUUUUUCUCUAGCUUCAAUAGACUUCUCCGUUCAUACUUCAUUUUAAUCUGCAUUUACUUUUAGAUGUAUUGUACAAUUUGAAAUGUUUUUAUUGUUAUACUUGAUUUCCUGGUGCAGUUUAGUCCGGUUGGACAUUAUUUUGCUAGUUGCUCACAUGAUCGAACUGCAAGGAUUUGGUCUAUGGAUAGAAUUCAACCUUUAAGGAUCAUGGCAGGACAUCUAUCUGAUGUGGAUGUGAGCAGUUCAUUCUUUAUUCCUUCUCUGAUUUUUUUUCUUCUGUAUUAUCGUUCCCUUUCCCUUCACACUGAUUUCUGUAGUUUGAAACCUUAUCUUCAGGAAAAAAAUAGUCAGGCUUUUGCUUGUUUAUUUUCCGUUUUUGUUGCUUGAUCUUAGUGUUUCUGGUACAAUAUAAUCCAUAACAAAUGUCACUGACAUCUUCAGUGUGUUCAAUGGCAUGCCAACUGCAACUACAUUGCAACUGGCUCGAGUGACAAAACUGUUAGAUUGUGGGAUGUCCAGAGUGGGGAAUGUGUUCGAAUUUUCAUUGGUCACAGGAGCAUGAUUUUGUCGUUGGCAAUGUCACCUGACGGUCGGUUCAUGGCAUCUGGUGAUGAAGACGGUACGAUUAUGAUGUGGGACCUAUCAACGGGUCGCUGUGUUACACCUUUGAUUGGACACACAUCAUGCGUUUGGACGCUUGCUUUCAGGUGCAGAAAAGAAAAUUUCGACCCCACCCCACCCUACAUCCCUGCCUGCUUUUGGGUUUAGACAAUGACGUAAAUAAUUCUCCAAUAUUUGAUGUUUUACAUUUCAGUUGUGAGGGGUCUCUCCUCGCCUCCGGUUCCGCCGACUGCACAGUGAAAUUAUGGGACGUAACUUCAAGCACCAAGCCACCAAGAACAGAUGAAAAGUGAGAUCUCCUUAAAAUAGUUUAAGAGGCUUCAGUUUAAAAUUUGACGUUUGCAUAUUGAACAUAAUUUCUAUUCUCAUUAUCAGCAAAACUGGAACUCCCAAUAGACUUAGAUCCUUGAAGACUCUACCAACCAAGUCGACUCCGGUUUACAGUUUGCGGGUACAUGCAGUCCGAACUUGCUUAUUUUUAAACACAUUUCUUUAAAUAACAUUCCUCUAAAUGAUUUUAUUUACUUUCUUAUCCAGUUCUCUCGGAGGAAUCUCUUAUUUGCAGCUGGGGCUCUCUCAAAAAAUGCAUCAACUGCUUAACACUCUAAUCUUUUGUAAUCCUUGCUUAAUACACAAAUGUCCUGAUAAAAUCUCCUUGUAAUGUUCCAUUUAUAGGCUAUUUAUUAGUGUAUCAUUUCCAGCCAAACUUUUUGUUCAAAAGGAAGUCUUGACAUUAUCUUAUCCAUGCAUGAUGUGCAAGAAUCAUUCUGUUCAUUCGAAAAUUUGAAGUGAAAUGACUCGUACUUGCAGGCAUACCUCACCUCAAAUGAUUGUGCUGUAAAUGAUAAUAAAGAUAAGAAAAUUUGCAGCAAAAAAGAAGUUUGAGAUUAGGAAUAGUGUAAAAGGAUAUGGGCUGUUUGUUGAAUUGGCUAUUUGAAAAGUGGGAAAAAGGACAAGAAAAAAAAAGUACAUAUAAGAAAGGGACAAACUUUCACUGUUACUCAGGGCAGUGAACAGGCCGAUAAAGGUACUACACUAUUAUACCUGAAUUAAAGUCUUUUUUUUACUUCUGCCAUUUCAGUUUCAAACUGUACUAUAUAUUUUCAGUCUUAUUCUUCAUUUCAAUUCAUGAAAAGAAAGAAAACUAUACUUGUAGCUCAUCAAGAACAGUAGAUUCUGACUUGGUAGUGGCAAACUAAGAAUAAUGAUUUCUUAGGUUAACUGUUUAUCAGGUUUGAAGAUGGCAGUUCACAUUUAGUGCCUAAACCUCAGAAAUAGAAAGUUGCUGUACUUUUCCUUGGCCCUAAAAUGGAGCUUAAUAGCUUUAACUUUAGCCCUAUCAGAUUAUUUGAUGGCAGCGAACAGUUUUUUUUCUUUAUGUUUUUUAUGCACUUCUAUUUAUACACCAUGUUCAUUCAUUAUACCAUAUGUUUGCCCAACUUUGUUCCCAUUGAUUGUGUAUACAGCAUUACCAUUUCAUUCAUACUUAUAAUGUCUGUUUAGUUUAACACAAACAAACACAAGAUUAUGUGUUCUUUCAUUGUCUUCUCGGUUUUUGGUUUCUGCACAUUGGCAGGCUGAAGCAUACCAUUUAUUCAACCAACAGUUACAGCCAAUUACAGAUUGUGUUACUACGCACUUGUAUAUAGUGUCUAUAACCUAAGUUCUUGAAGUGAAGCAUUGUUGAUUGGAAGUUAUUGUUUUUAGAUUAAUUAGAACUGAUCUUCUAUUGGUUGUUACAGUUAUUUUGACAUUUUAUGAUCACUAACAGAAUGCACAGGCUUACAUUUUAUUAUCCAUUGCUUCUUGUAUAUGCCAAUAAGCCUAAACAAAGUAUUUGUGAAAUACAUCAAUGUAUGUUCAAACUGCUAAUUAUCUGAGAGUGAAAGUCCAAAAAAGUAAUGGUCUUUUUGAAGUUAAGAGCAAGAGUUUCAAUCUAAUAUUAAACACAUUGGCAGCAUCAGGCAACAACUUUUUUCUACCUGAAGCAAAGCAAGCAUUUUGUAGAUUAAUGCUCAACACAAUACUCUUGCAUUACAUCAGAUGUUUAACCCCCUCAUAACUUUUACUCGUCGAACCUGUGUUUUCGUUGUAUGAUUCUACCAUUUGAUGUGCUAAUUCCUGUCUCCUUCGACCUCAGCCAGGUCAUUGACAUGGGAGGAAGUUCAAGGCGAUCAACUGAGUUCCAUCCAUUACUGGGGGUUUGCUCAUCUAGUAUUUAUCUCAUUGUUGGAUCACAUUUUGUGUAUAUAUAUAUAACUAAUGAUAAGAGUAUUCAUCAUUAAAUAGGGAUUCAACACACACUCAAAGAUACAGUUCAGGUCUUCAAUCAUUCCCUUUGAAGGCCAACAAAUAGAACCAUUAGUCAUCUUGAAAAAUUCCAUAAUUUCAUCAUUUGGCCACAUAAACAUACAAACAAGAUAAUGGAUGCAAAAGGAAAGGACGAUAAAAAUAAUAAAUAAAGAACGAGGAGAUGAUUAUUAUUUUAUAUAGACUAAAAUCCAAUAACAUGCAUCAUAAUUUAAGAUAUACACAUCAAGAAAUUGUUUGUCGUAGCAAAAUUUCAGUUUAUUGACACUUCUUGAAAGGGAACAAAAACAUGUGUAAUUAUAUAAAAACAUUAAUGUAUAGAAGUAUAGAAGAUAUUGAUUAGUUGCAUUCUGUCAUAACUGACAAAUACAUUAGAAAAUUAAUUAGCAUCUUGAAAUAAACAAGAUAUGUUACAAAAUCAUCAACCACUGAAGAACCCAACUUUCACACAACAUCUUCUUGGCACAACAGGUCAAAUAUAUAUAUAUUGUUCCAUUCAAAAGCAGUAACUAACCAAAAAAAAGAAAGAAAGAGUGAAUAGAUAUAAAAAAACAUUUUGAGAGUGAUAUCACCCAUCAAAUAAAUAUACAAGAUUGAGCAUGAUAGAUAGACCAAAAAACCAAGUCGACUAACCAAAUCAAAACCAGUUGGAUGUUGGUUUAGAAAAACAUAAAAAAAUAUUUCAAAGACUAGUUAAACCAAUCGACUGAAAUUUACUACUUGACUAAGAUAUUUACUAAACCAUGCAUAGCCGGAUUAAUAGUGAUUUAGUAAAAAAAAAAAUCAACUCUCCACUCCUAUAAAAUAUCGAGGCAAAUGCAUGAAUUUGAUGUAAAAUCUGCAACAACCUAAUGUCUUGCAAAUAACUUAGAUGUUUUAUCUUAAACAUUGUUAAAAAGAAAAACAUUCAACAAUUUGUUACAUGAAUUUUCAAUCUUUUCCUUCAUAUUUUUUCAUCUAGAGAAUGAAAUAAUGUCAUUCAUUGUUUUUCAUUGACAGGAAAGACAUCACAUAUCCAAGAGUGUAAUGUAACCAAGUGUAGUCUAUACCACAAACGCCAACCUCUCUGGUAGCUACAAUAGUAACUAUAUGCUCCCUAAGUGCUUGUCCUAAUUACAAUGACUAAUAAUAUAGGUUCGACUUGGAUUGACUUCUAAUUGAAAGAAAAUAAGUAGUACUUUAAAUAGUUAAAAAGUUAAUCGAGACGUGUCCAUAAUCUUUAGGGUUAGAUAACUUAUAGUUAGUCGAGCUGAAUGCAACCAACCAUAUGAUUUAUUGAUAUAUGAAAAUAAUUAAAACGAAAAUGAUAAACAAGUAAACAAAGAAAGAUGGACAUUAUUAUAUAUUCAAUGAAGUAAUAAUUGAAUUUCAAAGUUAAGUAAAAUAGAAAAAGAAUCAAACAAUAUAUUAACUUUUAUCACUGCAUUUGACGUACGAGUGAUCUUAAAACUGAAGGACACAAAGAUCUUCAAACAAAAUCAAAAUUAUUACCAUUUUUUCCCUCGUUGAUAAAAAAAUCUAAUGAUAACAACAACAAUAAUAACAAUCUUGUGUCUUUCUUUAGCAGAUCCUCCUCCAUUGAUUUCUGUUUCAGAGCUCAAAAAGAACAAUAAUGGAAGAAGAAAGAUGGCAAAUUCAUGAGUCAAAUCUACAAAUAAAGAAUAAAACUCAAUCAAUCCAUGGAAAUAACAAAGGGGAAAAAGAAAACCCCCUUUUUCUUUUUCUUUAGUAGAGAAUUCCAAAUGAUAUAUGAAAAUAAAGAUGAAAAACCCUUUUACAACACAAGAUAUGAAAACCCAUCUCAAUUUUAUUAUCCCAUGAACUAUAAUACUUGAAGAAAAUAUGAGAGAGAGAGAGAGAGAGAGAAGAAAGAAAAUUACCUGGAACUGAGAAAGUGAAAUUACAGAACAAAAUCCUUUAGAAAAAAUACAAUAUAAUCAUAAAAACAAAAGAAGAAUUAAACUUUACAUCAAAAUAUAUAAAAAAAGGGUAAAGAAUUUUUUAGAAAAGGGAAAGGAAUUGGCAAGGGAAACUGACAGAAAGAGAAGUGAGCACACAAGAGCAAUGGCAUAUUAUUAUACCAAAAGCCUCUGUGUGCUCACUCUCUUCUGUCAACUUCUAAUUUUACUAACACCAUUCCCCUCAAUUUUAAUCACCUUUAAUUAAUUCUUCUUCUUCUUCUUAUUAUUAUUAUUCAACAUUUAGAAAACAAUGAUAAUAACAAUCCCUUUUGUAAAGGGUCAAAUCAAAUCAGAAAAAAAUUCUGGAAACCCAGAUAAGGAAAAGUGCCAAAAAAAGCAAAAAUUCUCAUAAAAUUCUAACAGACCCUUAUGGGAAGUUUUUAUUAAUUAGGGUUUAGGGUAAAGAAAGAAAAGCAAGCAAACAAACAAACAAACAAAAAAAAGUAAACUUUUUUUUUCUUCUUUUGCUUCAUCUCUGUGUCUUCAUUAAUCACUUUCUUUUGCUUGUUCUUCUUCUUAUCUAUCUGAUCAUGAAGCAGAUAAAACAGUGGCUGUAAAAUAAAAAUGUUCAUUGGAAAAACCAAAUAACAGAAACAGAAUAAUAAUAACAACAAUAAUAUAGAGAGAAAAUAAAUACCCAAAAAGGAAAGUUUCUUAGAUGAGAGAAAAAAAAGUACAGUUGAGGAGAGAAGGAAAAAAAAAAGAAAAAAAUUCUUUUUUUUUCCUCAAAGAUGAUGAAAUGGAAUUGAUUUUGAGAACAGAUUUUGGGGUUUGGGCAUCUCAUCAUCAAAUCUCACACUCACAUGGGUUUUCUUUUCUUUCAUUAUAAUUAGAGAAAGAAAAGAAGAUCAAGAAGAAGAAGAAGAGAGAUUCAAAGUUUUUUUUUUCUUCUCUUUUUCUUCCUUUCCCAGGUUGUUUUUCAAACCAUUAAAUCAACACAUUACAAGUGAGGGAGAGAGAGAGAGAUGAGAAAGAGAAAAUAAAGUUUAAAGCUUUCUAAAAGUUGUGGUUGGAUCAUGCAUUUAUGUGUGGAAAAAAAAACUUACCUAUGCACAUCUGUCACGAAUCUCUAGCUGUCGAGGAUUUUAGAGGUUGAGUUAGGUUGAGUUGAGGACUCAAACUUAAUUGUUUCGGGUGUAUAUUUCUUCGGUCAACUUAAAUUAACUCUAAAAUAUUUAAGUUCGAAUUAAUUUCUUUCUUCUUAAUAUCGUUUUACUUUAACAAAAUAUGUAAAUUUUUUAUUAAUAUAUUGUUCAUUUCAAUUGUGUUAGGGAGGAGAAAAAACUUAAAAUAAAGAAGUUUUUUGAAGAAUAGAAAAAUUGAUAUUCUGAUAACAAAACACAACAUUUAUUAAACUUUUGAAAUAUAUGCUUAUAUAAUUGUAUUUUAGUGAACUAAUAAUAAAAUCAGGUUGGUUUAAGGUAUUUUAAGGUGAACAUAUAAAACUAAUUGAACUCAUAAAAUUUCACUUAUAUUUAAACCUAGCCGAACUUAAAUUUGUUGGAAAUUCAAUUAGCUCAAACCACACUGAAAGAUUUUUGGAUACGAACUUAAUUCAACGGUAACAGAAAUAUAUAUGGUUUUUUUCUUUCUCUUGGGAGAGUUAAAAUUAAGAAGAAAGUGUUGCAAUCUCACUAAGUAAUUGUGGGUUUGGUAUAUGUAGAUGGCACGUGUGGGAGAGAUUGGAUAUGAAUAUGAAGCGUAGAUGGGAGAGGUGGGAAGAGGGGAGAGGAAUCCUAACCGUUGGAUAUGGGUUGAACCCUAGUUGAGUUUUGAUGUCUUUUGUUGGAAAUUGGGCCUUGAUGGGACUUUGUCAAAGAGAGGAGAGAUUUUAUUUUUAUUUUCAAUUUAGCCCUUUGGUUUUGGUAAUUGUAGUAAUUUUGUUGGAAGUACUUUUGUGUGUGGAUGAAAUGGGUUUGCUCAACUUUCAUUUUCCUGACAACCAAUUGUGAAGCUCAUUGCCUCCUUCUAUGGAGAGUGAGACACUAAACACUCAAAAGAGAGUGAAAAAUGCAGUGUUCGACUUUAAACAUGUUAAACUAUAUACACAUUUUUGUCAUUUUAAAUAUCAUUUGGAAAUACGUUUUUAGUCGUUUCAAGUUUUGACAAAUUGGAAGCAAUUCUCAAACAUGCAUUAAUAUAUGAUAUUUAAACGGGCCCUAGAAGGAUAGAGCCAAAUGUGAGAAAUAGAGUGACAAGAAAUUUCAAGUUAGUAUUAUAUUACCUUUUCAUUCAACAAUAUUUGACACAUUGUUAUGGUACAUUCAUUUUAUUAGUAAUUGUGUAAUAGGGUAGCACUUUUAAGAGUAUAACCAUAUUUUUAAAAAAUUGCGCAAACACAUAACGAAAUCUAUGCAUGAAUGAUAGACUUUUAUUAGUGAUAAUAGUACUGUAUCAACCGAUAUUUAUAUCUACUAAUGUUUAUAGAUUAUCGUACCUCGGAAAAACGGAAAAAGAGAAAAAGAAAAGAGAGAAGAAAUAAUAGGGAUGGGGACCAAUCUUUGUUAUGGUAAGGUUAAAAGGGAAGGGCACUUUUGUUAGGAUGAAAUAAUAAAGAAAUGAAAGAGAAAAGAGAGAAAGAGAGAAGAAAAAUUAAAAGAGAAGUUUAAAUGUGUUUGGUAAUGGCUAUCUAUUCUAUACCCUAAGCCAAGGGGUUGUGUGUGCCUUCUCUUCUCUUCUCUUCUACCUUCUCUUACCCUUUCCAAACUUUAAAGGUUAACUAAUUAUUUUGCCUUUGCCUUUGCCUUUGCCCUUCUUAUAUAUAUAUAUAUAAUUCAAAUGGGAAAUUUCAUGGGAACAAAUGAAAUCAAAACAUUAUAUUAUGUGUUAAUAAUAUAUGAGAGUGAAAGAGGGGAGGGGGAGGGGACACCCACACCCUUAUUAAUUCAUAUAGUGUCCCACUUUUGUUGCUAAGGGGUCUCUAGAGCCUAGUGUUGAUUGCCUAUGCAUGGACCACUCCUUUUAAUACUCUAUUCAAUUUAUACACACCACCAAAUUAUUCAAUUUAUCCCCCACCUCUCUCUCUCUUUCUCUCUCUCAUGUGUCGGGUUUCGGUUUCGUUGAUAAUAUAUAUAUAUAUAUAUAUCAUAAUCAGAAUCACGUGAUAGUGAAGGAAAGUUAUUCUACAG